RNAcentral lists this long non-coding RNA (49605 nucleotides) under Capsella rubella. Its description in RNAcentral is "long non-coding RNA (CRUB_LNC005113)". The record is from RNAcentral. Lineage: Eukaryota; Viridiplantae; Streptophyta; Magnoliopsida; Brassicales; Brassicaceae.
UGUUUUGAAAGGAUUGGGACUGAUUUCACCAUUCAGUGGCGAAGACGGUUUAACUGAGAUGGUUGAAUCUUCAGAAAUGGGGAAGAAUCUAUCCGUAUCGAACAUUUUCCAUAAAGCGUGUAUCGAAGUGAACGAAGAAGGAACAGAAGCUGCAGCCGCAUCAGCUGGAGUUAUAAAACUAAGAGGUUUGCUUAUGGAGGAAGAUGAGAUAGAUUUUGUGGCGGAUCAUCCGUUUCUGUUGGUGGUCACAGAGAACAUAACAGGAGUGAUUCUGUUCAUCGGCCAAGUCCUUGAUCCGUUGCAUUGAAAACUAAUUUGGACCUUACUACUGGUUUUACUUAUAGAGUAAUCAAUAAAUGAGUGUCGUUACGAGUGGUGACUCAUCUUUGUGCUACUUCUUUUGAUGUAUGUAAUAAUAAUAACAUCCUCUUUUUAACAGUAGACAUUAUGGUUUCAUCAACAUAUAUGUACGUCAAAACUAUAGAUUAAUUAGUUAAUUCUGAAAUUUAAUGAUUUCGAAUACAUAGAACUUGAUUCAUCACAUAUAAUACAUAAAAGCUGAUACAUCACAUAUAAUACAUAAUAAACAUUGAUCAUUACACACGCUUGCUUUUUCUUCGUCGAACAGAACAACAAUGCGUUAACGAGCUCUAAUGGUUCGUUUCUUGCUUCGGCCAAUAACCUUCAUGAACCACUCAUGUUUGUACGAAACCAUUAUGUGUCCCAUCAUUAAUCCAAAUACAACUCCAGGUGCAAAGCCUAAACAUGCUGCCAUCCAACUCAAUGCUUCUUCUUCUUCUUCUUUUGUCUCUACCAGUUCGGACUGUGUUGGCGCUUUGAUAUCGCCACAAACAUCUUUAAGGGAAAGACCAUUAAGCCCCGGGUUUCCUUUGUAGGAGGAGCAUUUUUGUCGUUGAAACUGUGUGCCUUGUGGUAUGGAACCUACAAGCUGGUUAUGUGAAACAUUUAUCCAUGCGAGAGAAGAGAGGCUCCCAAGCUCAGGAGGAAUCUCACCAGAUAUCUUGUUUUGGGAUAGGUCGAGUGACUCGAGAUUCGUCAAAUUUGCCAAAGUAGAUGGGAUGUGACCCGUGAAAGCAUUGUUUGACAUGUUGAGAAUACGAAGCUCCUUUAGAAAACCAACAGAAUCAGGAAUUUGUCCACUAAGUUGAUUUCCUGAAAAAUCGAUGGCUGUGUAUGUUGUAAGGAUACGUUCCAUCUCCAUUGAUACUCCUUUACUCAUCAACACAAGUGAAAUGUAGAAGAUGUUGAUCCGAUAAUUUCUAAUGUAAUCUAGUUCCAUAUUAUUGUCUCUCUUGAAGUACAUUGCAGUCCAGUUCAAGAAGUAAUCAGAUGGCAAGGCACCGAAGAAGUCAUUAUACGAUACAUCAAUGAUUUUCAACUUAGGAAAUCCAAACCAAACCCCAUCAGCAUUAUGUAAUUUGCCAUGAAACUUGUUAGAGUGUAGGACGAUGACUUGAAGGUUCUCCAGAGAAUUCAAAUGGAAGGGAAACAUGUCGUUGAUUGUGUUGCUUCCCACGUUCAAAACUUCCAAGGCAGAGCAACCAACAAGAGAAGCUGGAAUUUUUCCCUCGAUUUGGUUGUGACUAACGUCAAGCGACGUUAAACUCUUGGCGUUCUGAAAUAUUUCAGGAAGAACCCCGCUGAGUCUGUUCUUACGGAGAUUUAGAUCCGAAAGAGAACUCAUCACCAGAGUCUCUAAACACCAGGGAAUUGAGCCAUGGAGGUUGUUGUCUGAUAGAUCUAGGACCUCUAAAGAGUUUACUUCACAUAUUGAUCGAGGGAUCUCUCCCGUGAAGUUAUUCUUAGAACCCAAAAAAAUAUAGGAGAUACUUGGAGGAUGGGAUGAAGAGUGGUCCUUGGAAAGCAUUUGAGCUUAGAUCAACAUAACUUAUUUGACUCUGCGGAGAAACUUCUAAGGAUCCAUUGAAACCGCUGAGAGAGUUGUUAGAGAGACGCACAAACUCCAAUUUUGGCAGUCUCCACAACCAGUCUGGUACUUGACCUUUGAUUUUGUUGUUGGAAAGAUAUAAUUGUUGUAGAUUUCUUCCUUUUUUUAUGAACUCAGGGAACUCAGUGAUGUUGCAGCCACUCAAAAUUAAAGAUUCCAAACUUGAUGGGAAAUCCGAAUCAAGAGUGAUGUUUGCUGUUGAAAGAGGGAUGCCAUAUAUAGAUAACGAGUCUAGCUUCUUGAGAGGCAAGAAGACAUUUAAGUUAACUUCUGAAUCAGAGACUUUGUUGUAAUUUCUACUCUUAAUAGAAAUUUUUUGUAAAUUAGGUAACAGAGAGAUAUUUGAAAUCCCAGUAUAGUCGUUGAAUUGGUUAUAACGCAAAGAGAUAUGGAUCAAAGAGGGAAUCUUGACUAGGGAUGAAAGAAUGGCUCCUUUAAAAGAACUGUCAUCAGCUGAAAAAGACUCUAAUUUGGAGAAUUGGCUAAUGAUUGGUGGAAGAGAACUAGUAAACUGAUUUGAAGAGAGCCAGAGUUCAAGUAGUUGGGUACAGUUGAGUAUUGAAGCUGGCAAGUUUCCACUGAGCUUGUUACCACUAACAUAAAAAAGUGUCAACUGUUUUAGAUUGCCAAUUGAAGAUGGGAUUUCACCAACAAAGUUAUUAUCAGAGAGAUCUAGAUAUGAGAGAUGAGACAGAUUCCCAACUGAAAAAGGAAUCUUCCCUGUGAACUGAUUUGAAGAGAGCCAGAGUUCACGUAGUUGAGUAAAAUUGAGUAUUGAAGCUGGCAAGUUUCCACUGAGCUUGUUUUCGGAAACAUCAAAAAUGGUUAAUUGUUUUAGAUUACCAAUUGAAGAUGGGAUUUCACCAACAAAGUUAUUAUAAGAGAGAUCGAGAAAUGAGAGAUGAGAAAGAUUCCCAAGUGAAAGCGGAAUCUUCCCUGAGAAUUGGGAAGAGGAAAGGGUCAAGGAAAUCAAAUUUUUGAGGUUGCUAAUGGAGUCGGGUAUGGGACCAGAAAAGGCUGUAAUGUCAAUGGUCAGCUCUACCAAAGAAUUAUUCUCACGAAAAGAGGGAAGAUUGCCUCUCAGAUUUGGAUUGUAGCUUAAUGUAAUGGACUGCAGACUAGGUAUCAGCAGAACACUACUUGGAAAUUCUCCAAAGAGGUUGCAUAAGCUUAGAUCUACUGACCUUAGAGAUCGCAAUUUUGAAAACUCAUGGGGGAUUUUUGAAGAAAUGUUUACAUUGCUCAUAUCGAGUUCUCUAAGACUCCUCAAAUUUUGAGCAAAUAGAUGAAGAAAAGAUUCAUCAAUAGAUAGAGAAGAAGAAGAAUCAGAAAGAUGGAGAGACACCAACUUGGUUAGCUGAAGAAGGUUGACUGGAAUUUGGCCUGAAAGUGAAGAAUCAGAGAGGUCAAGUGUUUCUAGCCUCAUGAGCUUAUCAAACUCAGCUGGGAUUGAAGAACCGGUGAAAUUAUUGCCAGUAAGGUUCAAAUCACGGAGAUGAAGCAGUUUAAACAGACUACUGUUGGAUUCGAGCUUGCCGUAGAGGUAGUUGAAACUAAGGUCUAGUCCGAUGACUUUGCCCGACUUCGCAGCACAUGUGAUGCCAUCCCAAGAACAACAAUCACUUUUGUUCAUCCAUGAUUCGGUCUUUAUAUCUGAAUCAACGUCCAAACGAGGCUUCUUGAUCAAAAGCUCAGUCUUAAACUCUAGAAGAGCAUCCCUUUCGUCUAGAUGACACAAGUGUUGUGUAGAAGAAACGAAUGUGUUUAGCAAACAUGAAACGAAAAAAAGGAAAGAGAUAGAACGAAGAAGGAAUCUCAUUUUCUGAUUAGGUAAGAAAGCUUUCAUAUUUGUGAAUAAAAGAGUAAUCUGAAGUAGUGAUGGUGAACUAGUGUUGCAGGUCACUUACAUAUAUAUAUAAUCAAACACAUGAAGCUCCAUUGAUUUAACAUUUUGAAGUCUUUUCGAUGAAAUUUCUUCCCCACAAAGAAUAUUGUGAGUCUUUCCAAAUCCAAUAGACUUGACUUAAUAGAGCAUAAACUCUCUUGCCCUAAAAACAAAAUCAUGUUGUAAGAAAUUAGAAGCAAAGAUCAAAAAAUCAUUCUCAGUGAGCAAAGUAAAAUUGGAGUUUAGUGAGGACAAGUAGAGAAAUCAAAGUGCCGUGUAGCAUAAGCUUGUAGGACAAGUAGAAUUAUCCUAUAAAAUGCUUACCAAGUUGUCAUCUGUCCAAUUCCAACCUAAAACAUACGUCAAUAUUAACUUUUCAAUAGUUUGAACAUUAGAUUCUUUAUAUGAGCCAAGCUAGAUUAAAACAAAACUUAUCUUGGCCAAGUUGAAGAGUUUUGUUCUCAAAACUAAACGUUUGUAAUUGUAUGUAUCAUCAACGAAUAUUACAAACUCUCGUUGAUGCUCUUGUUCUCAUAAAUAUCACAAAACCCAUACGUUACGUUUCAUCUCUCAAAGAAUGUUCCGAUAACGAUUAUUAACAAGAAAAAUACUUAACAAAUACUAAAAUAUUUUCUUACACAUUUUAGUACAUAAAAGUCUAAACUGUAUAUUCAGUUUACAACAUAUAUGAAACGUACGAUUAAUCGAGUUUGAAAUCUUUAUAUUAAACCAAAGAUUGAUUAUAAGUUUUGGUUAUAUCUCACACUUAUGAAUCAGGAUCAUGUAACAUAGAGUGAUGCAAUACACUUGUAACAUCCCAAUAACAUCUCGACCUAAUCUUAAUUAAAUCCAAUCGGAAAACAGCCAUAGUGUGUUUUUUUCCUUGUAUUAGUUUCACUUUUUUAUUUUUUAUAUUAUUUUGCUAAGAAUGUAAAUAUUUCAUUUGAAAAAAAAAAUAAUCAGAUUUACAAUCCAUGAUUACAAAAGAGACUUGUCACACAAGUAUAGGUUAUGUUAUGUGCUUAUAUAUGUUGUAUCAUUUCAUUCAAUAAUACAAAACAAUAUACAAUUCAAUAUUCUCUACUUACAUAACUCGAUCUUGGCCCUAAAAAGUCUUUUUGUAAGAAAUUAGAAACGAAGAUCAAAAAAUCAUUCUCAAUGAGCAAAGUAAAAUUGGAGUUUAGUGAGGGCAAGUAGAAAAAUCAAAGUGCCGUGUAGUUUAAGCUUGUCCUUCAAAUUCAAAUGGGACUAUUCUCCUGUGGCUUUUCCCCCAUGAAAUGCUUUACCUAGUUGUCCUCUAUCCAAUUCAAACCUAAAAACAUACGUUAAUAUUAACUUUUCAAAAGUUUGAACAUUAGAAUCUUUAUAUGAGCUUGGCCAAAUUGAAGAGUUUUGUUCUCAAAACUGUACGUUUAUAGUUGUCUGUAUUAACAACGAAUAUCAUAAAGUCUCGUUGAUGCUUGUGUUCUCAUAAUAUCACGAAACCCAUACGUUACGUUUUAUCUCUCAACGAAUGUUCCGAUAAAAACCAAAUUUUAUUUACUUCUGAUCAUCAUAUACACAAAUAUUCUGGAGAUAAUUACACAAACGAUUUCUUACACAUUUUAGUACUUUAAUUCUAAACGUACAACAUAUAUGAAUGGUACGAUUAAUCGAAUUUGACAUCUUUACAUUGAACGAAAGAUUGAUUAUAAGUUUUGGUUAUGUCUCACACUCAGGAAUCAGGAAAACAGCCAUAGAGUGUGUUUUUUUUUUCCUUGUUUUAGUUUCACUUUUUUAUUUUAUUUUGCUAAGAAUGUAAAAAUUUCAUUUAAUUAUUUUUAUAAAAAAAAACAGAUUUAUAAUCGAUGAUUAUAGACCUUAGGCUAAUAAUAGUUUCAGCUUCACUUUCUCUGGUCUAACAAGUCAAGUCGUCUAGUAAAGUCAUGCCAGAGAGCUUCACAUGUAUCUUUGUGAUUAAAGUCAGGUUGCUUAGGGUUCUUCUUACUUGUCCUGUUAUCCCACCACUCGUACGUAAGGAUUCGCAAAAGAGACUUUUCACAACCAUUUUUGGUUUCUUCUAUACCAUCUUCUAUGGUAACACCAAAUGUGAGUAAAUUAUAUAAGAAAAUAAAUACCAAAAGCUAGAAUUUUAUGUUUUUUUUUUUUGUGGCUGUAAAACAUCAUUAAAAUUAACUCCAGGAUUGUGCAAAAUUCCCAAACUUGAACAAAACUGUCAAAUUAUUCGAAUGGAAUAUGAUUUUUUUUUAUAUUUAAACUCUAAUUAUCCAACCGCGAAUCAAACUGAAUCAAAAUUAUGUAAAAUAACGAAAGGAAAUAGAAUUCGUUGAAAAUCUAAUAUUUGUCUUGGCUCAUAUAUUAGUGGGUUGGUUGCGGCUAGCGUACGUUAUUCCUCGAGUAUGCAGACAUUGUUACUACUACCACUCACAAAUCGCUAUAAUAUUCUUUAGGAAGGUGCUGACUAAUUUUCGUAAUAUUUGAUAGUUUUCCUUUUGAAUUUUCGCAGAAUAAACCAAGCUGUUGGUCCAUAUAAUUCACACAAUAACGGGUCUCAAGAUAAGGUUACAGAAACAUCAAGAUAGCCUUAAAGAUCAAGGCAGGGUCUCAAGGGGAUUGUUUCAUUCUUUUUUAUUGUGUCACGCUCUCCGAAAAAUGGGGAUUGUACUGUUGAUCUAAAAAUCUAUAAUGUACUGUAGGAACAAAGUUGAAGGACUUUGGAGCAACAACGCAAUCAAAUGAGAAAUUACAAUCAGAGAUGGUAGAAGAAUAUGUUAAGCAGUUCCCAAUAAUUGGGUUCGAGAAAGAGUCCAUGAGAUUCAGUAGCGCUAGAGAACUUUACCAACAGGGACUGGGACAUUCAGAGAGGUAAUUAAACUUACCUUAACCAACAUAAGGCAUUUGAAUCCGCUCAGUGACCUGAAACUCAGAGAAUUUACAAAACUGGGACUCUCUCGUUUUAUCAUUAGGGACAUGAACAUUCAGAGAGGUUUACUUUGACCGAGAAGAGGCAGUGUUGUAUAUAGCUCCACCAAUAUACUGCAGCAAAAGUGCAACUACUUCACAACAGUUGCUUGAAUUGGCAUAUGCAUACUUUGAUGGAUAAUGGUGUACUCAAGGAAUCCCCCCCUUUUGCACCAUACGUUACUAAGGUUAAACUCCAUCACUGAUUCAACAAAUAUCCCCAAUUUUUCCCAUAAAUCUAAGUUCAAUUCUCAAAACAAGUAAAAAAAAUCUCCAAGAGUUUUAUAUGAAACUCCAAGACAAACUAAAUUUUCUCAUAGUAACCUUGAAUUAAUAAUAUCUCCUUAAUAACCACACAAUCACCCAAUCCAACUGUCGGUUUUCUACCAACCGUCUCUCUGUUUUCAAACUUUUUUUUUUUUUUGAAUGAAUGUGAAAAUAUAUUCAAAACAAAAAAAUGUCCUUUUUACAAUGAAUGCUUCCUUGGAUCAAAAAAGAGCAAAAAAAAACCUGAAAAUUGUUUAAAAGGAAUUAGAAAAGUAGUAGAGUAGCUAACCAAAUCUGCAGCCCGUCACCAAACUUUGUUGUGUUGCCUUGCAUUGAAAGGAGCUUAUUACGGACCAUGCGGUCUAGGAAGCGGACAAGCUGGUCCGUGGUGCUUGGCGUAUCUCCAUGCCGUCUUCUGUUUCGCUCCAACCAAAUCGUGUGGACUGAAACUUGGAACACGAGACGCAGAAGAUAAGAACUUAUUCCUUUUAUGGUCUGACCCGAGAGAAGAGUAAGAAUCUGGCCAAAGGACGUAGAGAAUUGGCGCGUCAAGAGCGGUCGAGACAGAUCCUGCCAAACCCGUGAAGAGUAAGGGCAUUCAAAGAAGAGGUGAGGGAAUGUUUCAAGUGGUGCCCGACAGAGCACACAAGCACCAUUCACGCCUCUGUUCCAGGCCAGCAUACGGUCCGCCGUUGUUAAUCUGUUUCGAGCAGCUAACCAAAGAAUGAAAGAACACUUCGGAAUGGAGUUAGAGAACCAUAUACUCUGUUUUCAAACUUAUUUUUGUAUUUUGUCUGUUCUAUAAUUUACAUAUUCUUUUUUUGUAGAAAACUGCUACAAUUAAAUUUUGAUAUAGGAAAUUCCAAAUCUAAAUAUAUAUAUAUCUAAUAUUACUUUUAAAAAUUAUAUAUAAAAAUCCUUAAUUUUCCAAAUGUAUAAAAGAAAAUAUGCAAAAAACUAAGUCUUAAAAAGAGAAGGAAAAAAACUUGUAUGUAAAAUAGAAGAAAAGUAUGGAAAAAAAAAACAAACUUAUUGAUAGCAGUUAAGAAAUUAUAAAAGAAUGUUAAAUAUGAUUUAAAAGGUAUAUCUUCUUCAGAAAUACGAAAGUCAAAUCGUUAUAAGUUUAAGGACCAGAUUUUAGCAUUACCAGAUUUUGGAAGAUCGUAAUAUAAGAUAAGUACAUUUUAGUGUAAGUUGACAAAAAAAAAGUAAUAAUAAUAAUAUGAUAAGAAUGUGUAUAAGUUAAUAUUGUUCCACUUAUUUCUUCAUACAGUAUAUAUAUAUGAACUUUUAUUACAUUAGUUCACCUGAAACCCUAAUUGAUCACGAGAGAAACAAGGAUGACGAUAUCCCAACUGCCACAAGAUUUGAUAGAAGAGAUACUAUAUAGGGUCCCCGUGACAUCCCUGAGACGAUUACGAUCUACUUGCAAAGGAUGGUACCAUCAAGCUUUAUUCAAAGAUCCUAGAUUCAUCAAAAAACACUUUGACAAAACAGCAAAGCAGUAUCAUGCUCUUAUGCUGUUUGGCAAUACGGUAUGUCCAAUGAGCUCCGUUGUCGAUAGGGUUAUGAGAGUGGUCAGUAUAUAUCCGCAUCGCCUAGCUCUUCCCCAUCGUGACGAAUUCGUCAGUUUAUCUGAAGCCUUUCACUGCGAUGGCAUAUUGCUAUGCAGCCUCUUGAUGAAGACCAUGAUUGUGGUUUGGAACCCGUUUUCGGGGCAAACCAGGUGGAUCCAAGUAACCCAACUGCAAGAUCACUACAUUGGAGCGUAUGCUCUCGGAUACAACAACAAGGAGUUGUGUCGUAGCUACAAAAUCUUGAGGUUCCGGUGUCAAUACGUAAAGUUGGCGGCAUCAUGGGGCUGGGGUGCACUUAAUGUCACUCCGGAACCAGAAGGCAACAUUAUAUCGGAAAUAUAUGAGUUUAGCUCUAAUUUAUGGAGGAAUCUGGAUUCGGUCCUUCCCGAUCAAGCCUACUUAAAACCUAGUGGUGGUGUAUCUUUAAAUGGGAAUACUUAUUGGAUGUCGUGUAAUAAAAAAGGAGACUACUCACUACUCAGUUUUGAUUUUUCAACAGAAAAGUUUCAACGUUUAUGCGCUCCCUUUCAUCAUGAACCAUGCCAUAUUGAUACUAGGGUUCUCUCGGUUGUUAGAGAAGAACGUCUCUCGUUGUUAUAUCAGAGUAGGAAGACACUAGAGGUGGAAAUAUGGAUGACCGAUGAGAUUGAGACCACAUUUGUGUCGUGGAGCAAGUUCUUAAGAGUAGAUUUAUUAGGAUUAAACCAUUGUUUUUCGGAUUCCAUGAGCUUCUCCAUUAUCGAUGAGGAGAAGAAAGUUGUCGUGUGUUGUGAUGAAGCGGGAAAUUUCGACUUCACAAUGGUGUGGAUUGUUAAAGAAGGAGAAGAAUAUAGAGCAUCACCCGAUAUUUCAGUUGAUGGUGGCGUACAAGCAUGGAGUAUACCACUUCUUAGUGUUCCAAGUUUGUUUGGUUAUGUUCCAAAAAAUUAGCAUUCUUGUUUCUUUAAUUUCUUCCUUUGUUAUGUCCUUGGAUUGAUGAAAAAAGAAAACACUAAACACAAAACACACACAACAAAAAAGGUUAUGUUGCUCCCAGGCACGAGUCCCCAUGCCAUCUCACAUUCUUUCAUCUCAUAUAAAACUACUCUCUCGUUUUCCCUAGAGACAUGAACAUUGACCAAGAAGAGGCAGAUGUCUUGGUGGCUCGGUGCGAUAAGUAAUACUUUGGUUAUUAAUUUGUCUUAAAAAAAACGAAAUCGAAAAGAGACGUUAGAAACUUUGAGUGUGAUUUUCAUCAUCAUGUCACAUACCGUAUAAUUGGUUAUGCUUAGCAUAGGACACAUGAUCAGUGAAGGUACUCUCGUCCUCUUGGUUUGGUCAUUGGGAUGACAAGAUCUCCCAUUGUUUCUUCACGAUCGUACAAUGGUUCUAAUACCAAAUCUCGUUUGUGAAAAUAUAACGUAACUCAAGAAUAAUACAUGUUUAGAUAACUCCUAAACUUCUUUCUCCUAAAAACCAUAAUUCGGUAGGAUUAGGUUUAGCUUGAGAUUCAAGCUUUCUUUAAGUUUAAACCAACAUACCAGACAAAAUAGUUUCUACUCUUGGGUUCUUAGAGAGCCGCAUUCCAUGUAGACAAUUUAAAGUCGGUGAAUUCAAUAUUCCAAAGUUUAAAUUCUCUUCGGGUUUGACGCCUCAGAUAUUUUGAAAGGAUUGGGACUGACUUCGCCAUUCAGUGGCGAAGACGGUAUAACUGAGAUGCUUGAAUCUCCAGAAAUGGGGAAGAAUCUAUCCGUAUCGAACAUUUUCCACAAAGCAUGCAUCGAGGUGAACGAAGAAGGAACAGAAGCCGCAGCCGCAUCAGCUGGAGUUAUAAAACUAAGAGGUUUGCUUAUGGAGGAAGAUGAGAUAGAUUUUGUGGUGGAUCAUCUGUUUCAGUUGGUGGUCACAGAGAACAUAACAGGAGUUACUAUGUUCAUCGGCCAAGUCCAAGAAAACUAAUUUGGAGCUAACUACUGGUUUAAGUUAUAAAGUAAUCAAUAAAUGAGCUGUGUCUUUACGAGUGGUCUUUAAUGUGUGUAAUAAUAAUAACAUCCUUUGUCUUAUAGCUCAUAAUGCCUCAUAUAUAUAAUGAAAACAAAUAAUCAAUAUGAUAAUUCAUAUAAUACAUAAAAAACUGAUACAUCACUUAUAAUGGGAAAUACAUAAAAAUUGUCCAUCACACGUUAUUUAUGAUGUUAUCACACAAACUUCGUCGAACACAACAAUUAUAUAACAACAAUGCGUUAAUGAGCUCUUCGUUGCUUGCUUCGGCCAAAAACCUUCAUGAACCACUCAUGCUUGUACGAAACCACUAUGUGUCCCAUCACUAAUCCAAAUACAACUCCAGGUGCAAAGCCUAAACAUGCUGCCAUCCAACUCAAUGAUUCUUCUUCUUCUUUUGUCUCCACCAGUUUCGAUUGUGCUGGUGUCGGUGCUUUGAUAUCUCCACAAACAUCCUUAAGGGAAAGAGCAUUAAGCCCCAGGUUUCCUUCAUAGGAGGAGCAUUUUUGUCGUUGAAACUGCGUGCCUUGUGGUAUGGAACCUACAAGCUGGUUAUGUGAAACAUCUAUCACUUCCAGAGAUGAGAGGGUCCCAAGUUCAGGAGGAAUCUCACCAGAAAUCUUGUUUUGGGAUAGGUCGAGUGACUCCAGAUUCGUCAAAUUUGUCAAAGUAGAUGGGAUGUGCCCCGUGAAAGCAUUGCUUGACAUGUUGAGAAUAUGAAGUUCCUUCAACAGACCAAUGGAAUCAGGAAUUGGUCCAUGGAGUUGAUUUCCUGAAAAAUCAAUGGCUGUGUAGGUUGUAAGGAUACGUUCCAUCUCCAUUGACACUCCUUUAUUCAUCAACACAAGUGAGUAGUAGCCAUCUUCUGAAGGAUUCCUAAUGUACUCAGGUUCCAUAUUAUUAUCUCUCUUGGAGUACAUCGCAGUCCAAUUCAAAAAGUAAUCUGAUGGCAAUGUACCGGAGAAGUCAUUGUGUGAUACAUCAAUGAUUUUCAGAUGAGGAAAUCCAAACCAAACCCCAUCAGCAUUACGUAAUGUACCAUGAAACCUGUUAGAGUGGAGGACAAGGACUUGAAGUUUCUGCAGAGAAUUCAAGUGGAAGGGAAACAUGUCUUUGAUUGUGUUGCUUCCCACGUUCAAAACUUCCAAAGCAGAGCAACCAACAAGAGAAGCUGGUAUUUUUCCCUCUAAUCGGUUGUGACUGACGUCAAGUGAAGUUAACCUCUUGGCGUGAUGAAAUAUUUCAGGAAGAAUUCCGCUAAGUCUGUUGCUACGGAGAUUUAGAUAUGCAAGAGAAGUCAUCACCAGAGUCUCUAAACACCAGGGAAUUGAACCAUGGAGGUUGUUGUUUGAUAGAUCUAGGCCCUCUAGAGAGUUUAGUCCACAUAUUGAUUGAGGAAUCUCUCCAGUGAAGUUAUUCUUAGAACCCGAAAAAUAUUGGAGAUGCUUAGAGGAUGGGAUGAAGAGUGGUCCUUGGAAAGCAUUUGAGCUUAGAUCAACAAAACUGUUUUGACUCUCAAGAUAAACUUUUAAGGAAAGAGAUGGAACGAAGAAGGAACCUCAUUUUCUGAUUAGGUAAGAAAGCUUUCAUAUUUGUGAAUAAAAGAGUAAUCUGAAGUAGUGAUGGUGAAUUAGUGUUGCAGGUCACUUACAUAUAUUUAAAAUCAAACACAUGAAGCUCCAUUGACUUAACAUUUUGAAGUCUUCUCGAUGAAAUUUGUUCCCCACAAAGAAUAUAGUGAAUCUUUCCAAAUCCAAUAGACUUGACUUAAUAGAGCAUAAACUCUCUUGCCCUAAAAACAAAAUCAUGUUGUAAGAAAUUAGAAGCAAAGAUCAAAAAAUCACUCUCAGUGAGCAAAGUAAAAUUGGAGUUUAGUGAGGACAAGUAGAAAAAUCAAAGUGCCGUGUAGCUUAAGCUUGUAGGACAAGUAGAAUUAUCCUAUAAAAUGCUUACCAAGUUGUCAUCUCUGUCCAUAUCCAACCUAAAACAUACGCCAAUAUUAACUUUUCAAUAGUUUGAACAUUAGAUUCUUUAUAUGAACCAAGCCAAAUUAAAACAAAACUUAGCUUGGCAAAAUUGAAGAGUUUUGUUCUCAAAACUGAACGUUUGUAAUUGUAUGUAUCAUCAACGAAUAUUACAAACUCUCGUUGAUGCUCUUGUUCUCAUAAAUAUCACAAAACCCAUACGUUACGUUUCAUCUCUCAAAGAAUGUUCCGAUAACGAUUAUCAACAAGAAAGAUACUAAAAUAUUUUCUUACACAUUUUAGUACAUAAAAGUCUAAACCGUAUAUUCAGUUUACAACUUAUAUGAAACAUACGAUUAAUUGAAUUUGAAAUCUUUAUAUUAAACCGAAGAUUGAUUAUAAGUUUUGGUUAUGUACUCUCACACUCAAGAAUCAGGAUCAUGUAACAUAGAGUGAUGCAAUACACUUGUAACAUCCCAAGAACAUCUCGACCUAAUCUUAAUUAAAUCCAAUCGGAAAAAAGCCAUAGUGUGUUUUUUUCCUUGUAGUAGUUUCACUCUUUUUAUUUUGCUAAGAAUAUAAAUAUUUCAUUUAAAAAAAAUAAUCAGAUUUACAAUCGAUGACUACAGACCUUUGGCCAAUAAUAGUCUCAGAUUCACUUUCUCUGGUCUAACAAGUCAAGUCGUCACUAACAAGUAAUCCAGUCUGAUAAAUCUAAGUCAUGCCAGAGAGUUUCACAUGUAUCUUUAUGAUUCAAGUCAGGUUGCUUGGGGUUCUUCUUACUUGUCAUGUUAUCCCACCACUCGUACGUAAAGAUUCGCAAAAGAGACUUUUCACAACCAUUUUGGUUUCUUCUAUACCAUCUUCUAAGGUAACACCAAAAACACAAAAGGUCAUGUCAUGUGAGUAAAUUAUAGAAGAAAAUAAAUACCAAAAGCUAGAAUUUUAUGUGUUUUUUUGUGUGGCUGUAAAACAUCAUUUAACUUAUGUCUAGCUAGGAUUGCCCAAAAUUCCCAAACUUGAACAAAACUGUCAAAUUAUUCGAAUGGAAUAUGAUUUUUUUUUUUUUUAAAUCGAAUUAUCCAACCGCGAAUCAAACUGAAUCAGAAUUAUGUAAAAUAACAAAAGGAAAUAGAAUUCGUUGAAAAACUAAUAUUUUUGUUGGCUGAUAUGGCUCAUAUUAGUGGGUUGGUUGCUGCUAGCAUACGUUGUUACUACUACCACUCACAAAUCGCUUCACUGUCCCAGAGGGGCUAUAAUAUUCUUUAGGAAGGUGCUGACUAAUCUUCGCAAUAUUUGUUAGUUUUCCUUUAGAAUUUUCGCAGUAUUUGAUAGUUUUCCUUUUGAAUUUUCGCAGAAUAAACCAAGCUGUUUCCUGGACCACAAGUUGGUCCAUAUAAUUCACACUAUAACGGGUCUCAAGAUAAGGUAACAGAAACACCAGCUCUCACGUCAAAAUAGCCUUAAAGAUCAAGGCAGGGUCUCAAGGGGAUUGUUUCAUUCUUUCUUAUUGUGUCACGCUCUCUGAAAAAUAGGGAUUGUACUGGUGAUCAAUCUAUAAUGUACUGUAGGAACAAAGUUGAAGGACUUUGUAGCAACAAUGCACUCAAAUGAGAAAUUACUAUGAGAUUGUAGAAGAAUAUGUUAAGCAGUUCCCAAUAAUUGGGUUCGAGAAAGAGUCCAUGAGAUACAAAGACUAGUAGAUUCACUAGAGCAACUGUUUAAAUUCAAACAAUCAAAAAUUCAAACACAAGACUGCAUAUAAAUAUAAAACAGGUUUUUUUUUGGUUGAAUAAAUUUAACAUUCAUUCAAAAAAAAAAAAAAAAAAAAAAACUCGUAAAAUGGCACUCUUGAGAAAAUUGUAAUGCAACUGUUUAAAGGGUUAUGAUGGAUUUAUCCAAGCACUGUUUCUUAAAUAAGAUGUUUAUUUUGCCUUCCUACAUAAAACGAUACAGCUAUGGGAUUAAGUAUUUGUUCAAGAAUGGCCUAAAAUGUGAAAUCUUUGGCCAAUUUUAAAAAUAUUAUGGCUUCAAAUUUCUAACAAACUGGAAUACCACAGAGAGUAAACUAUAGGAUUCGAAGAAAGGCCACGACGGGCAAAACUCUGCAAGAACCCAGUGACAAGUGUUUUGGGUGGGAUCGAAUAGUAACUAACAGGACAGCAUAACUAGUAGGAAACAAUGCAAUUUAACAUCCAUCUAACAAAAUAUUCAUAAGACAAAUGGGUUGCAUUACGCCAGUUCUCACAUAUCAAGUUCUCUUAGAAUGAUGUAUGAUCUUAUCUAAGACAAGAACUCACUGAAUCAAUUUUUCUACACAAGUCAGAGAAGAUAUAUAUAGUUUGCUUAAUCAUUAUUGUCUACAAUACGAUGUAUACUUAUACCAAAAAAAGCAUUAAACUUAGCAAUAUGCUGUAUAAAAUUAAAUGGGCACAAACAUUAGAAACAGUCGUAAGACUUCAAAAAACAGUGGUCAAUUUUAUAGAUCAUUAAUAUUCAUCACCAAUCAUAGGAAACAAGACAUCCAAUUUUACUAUAAACAUGUUAUCACUGAGAAAUCUCAACAAAACAAGGGCAUAAAACAACAAGAUGAUACAAAGUUAAAGCCAAAUUCGUAAUUGGAAUAAGGAAUCAUAGUGAGAACAAGGCACCAAAUAAACUAUUCAUAAAUUAUAUUGCUGCAUGCACAAAACUUUCUUUGUUGUCAUAACAUUAAAUGGGUUGCAUCACAACAAAACUGACAUAUCUCAGACAUAAGGUUCUUUAAGAAUUUAUGUAUGAACAAAUACAAAAGACACUCAUUGUAUCAAUCAUUUCACACAAGUCAGAACACCCACCAGAUAUAGUAAGCACACACAACUAUACGAUCAUCCAGAACAACGUUCAGCUGUCACAUUACCUACACUGCUACACUUUAAAUUGAAAGCACACAAAACAUUGUAACACUCAUACGACAAGUAAGUGAAAUGGUUUUCUAAACGAACUUGAAUGUCACAAAUAAUAGAAAAAAUGCAGUUUUUAGUCUUUGCAUAAAAAUAAUCAAAAUCCUACCAGAUAUUAAAAUUGACAAUUUAUAGGAAUCUAUCUUAACAUUUUUGAAGUACAUUUUGUACUAAAAUCUAUUUUAGGUUAUAACCUUUUAUUUUGUAUUAUUUGCAUAAUUAAAUCUUUACCAAUUAAAUAAAUAACAAAAUUGAAAAGUAAAUUUUGUAAUUAACUCACAAAAAAACGAAAAAAUGGAAACAAAUAUUUAUGGGAGAUUUGCACAACUAACCUUUAUUAUGAUACCCUUUUUUACAAGUACCCUCUCUAGGUGUUCAUUUUCAAAAAUACCCUCUUCAAUGUACAAAAUGACUAAAUUACCCUCCUUUAUUAUAACCCAUGAUGAAAAAAGGAAUAUUCUUUCCAACAAAAAGAAUAUUCCUUCCGAAAAAUUUCCCGCCAAAUUUUCCCGCCAAAAAGUUUCGGCAAAAAUUUUCCCGCCAAAAAAAUUUCCCGCCAAAAAAAAUUUCCCGCCAAAAAAUUUCCGCAAUUUCUUAAAAAAACCUUGUAAAUAUUUAUAAAUCCCUUAAAAAUCCUUUAAAAACCCUUGUAAAUCUUUUAAAAGUCAUCCAAAACCUUUCAAAACUUGAGUAAACCUUUCAAAACCAUUGUAAAUCAUUUUAUAACAUUUAUAAACACUUGUAAAUCCCUUUAAACCACUUAUAACCGUGAUAAAUCAUUUAAUAAAAACUUUUGUAAACUUCUAAAACCCGUUAAAAACCCUUGUAAAUCCUUAAAACCCAUUUUAAAGAACUUGUAAUACCUUUAAAAACUUUUGUAAACCCUUCAACAACAAGGAGUUGUGUCGUAGCUACAAAAUCUUGAGGUUCCGGUGUCAAUACGGAAAGUUGGUGGCAUCAUGGGGCUGGGGUGCACUUAAUGUCACUCCGGAACCAGAAGGCAACAUUAUAUCGGAAAUAUAUGAGUUUAGCUCUAAUUUAUGGAGGAAUCUGGAUGCGGUCCUUCCCGAUCAAGCCUACUUAAAACCUAGUGGUGGUGUAUCUAUAAAUGAGAAUACUUAUUGGAUGUCGUGUAAUAAAAAAGGAGACUACUCACUACUCAAAAGUUUUGAGUUUUCAACACAAAAGUUUCAACGUUUAUGCGCUCCAUUUCAUCAUGAACCAUGCCAUAAUGAUACUAGGGUUCUCUCGGUUGUUAGAGAAGAACGUCUCUCGUUGUUAUAUCAGAGUAGGAAGACACUAGAGGUGGAAAUAUGGAUGACCGAUGAGAUUGAGACCACAUUUGUGUCGUGGAGCAAGUUCUUAAGAGUAGAUUUAUUAGGAUUAAACCAUUGUUUUUCGGAUUCCAUGAGCUUCUCCAUGAUCGACGAGGAGAAGAAAGUUGUCGUGUGUUGUGAUGAAGCGGGAAAUUUCGACUUCACAAUGGUGUGGAUUGAUAAAGAAGGAGAAGAAUAUAGAGCAUCACCCGAUAUUUCAGUUGAUUGUGGCGUACAAGCAUGGAGUAUACCACUUCUUAGUGUUCCAAGAUUGUUUGGUUAUGUUCCAAAAAAUUAGCAUUCUUGUUUCUUUAAUUUGCUUCCUUUGUCAUGUCCUUGGAUUGAUGGAUGAAAUAAUAUAGUAUUUUCUUGAAGUCUGGUAAAGUAAUGUAUGCACUUUUCAUUUGAAACGAAUGGUGACUUUGCACAUAAACGAAAAUCAAACAACAGUGGUCUGUCUAGCUACUUCCAGAGAUUUCCCAGUUUGGAUUGUUUGUUUAUAUCCCUACUAUAUUAAAAGAGAAGUACACAAGGGAUUCGGGUCGGGUUUUUCAAAAAAUUCCGGGUUAAAUUUUCAAUCAGAUACUUGCCAAUUCUUUUGUUAAAUAUUUUCCAAAUAUUUCAAUAAUAUACACCACAUUCCUGUCAUUUAGGAAACUAUAUUAAUGUUACAUUAUUAUAUUUUAGAAAAUAUAUUAAUGCUAUAUAAAAAAUAUGUCUUAUAAGGAAAAUUUGUUUAUGAAUAUAAAGAUCUCAAUCUUUUAAAAAUAUUUUAAUUAGUAUAUUAAUUUUUUAUAUGAAAAAACAAAAAAUUAUAAUUUUUUAUAAGUUUAUCUUUGAUAUACAGAAAAAAAUAAUUUAAAAAUAUUUGGUAUACAAAAUAUAAAAAUGCAUCUAAAAUACAUAAAUAAUGGUAAUAUAAUCAAUAAAAAUGUUAGUUAGUUUGAAUUAGUUAAAUGUUUCAAAAAUAAAAUUUGGCUAUGAAAACGAAAGAUUUUAUUAAAUUAGUGUGAUGUUUAUAAUAUAUUAAAUAUCUAUAUUAACAUUUUUGAAGUACCUUUUGUGUUCUACCUUUUUAUUUUGUGAUAUUUUCAUAAUUAAUCCCUUGCCAUUUGAUUAAAUAGAAAAAUUUUAAGAUAAAUUUUAUAAUUAAAUCAUAAUAAAAUUGUAAAAUUAGAAAUCAAUAUUUAUUACAUUUAAUAAAUUUCCUAAAAUCUCUCCCUUAUAAAUCAAAUACUUCUCCAACAUCUUUAUAUGAUCUUAUUUGUUUUUAAAUUUAUAUUAAUACAUAAAUAUAUGUAUAGUAAAUAUAGAAUUUUGUUUUUGCAUAUGUUGCAAUUUGAAUUUUUAGAAACGGAUGUAUAUUACUCAAAAGAAACAAAAAUGGAUGUACUAAAGUAUUGUUGAUAAUUGUGUAGCACGGGUCAUGUUAGGCCUGGACAUUCGGUUAACCAUUCGGUUUUGGUUCGGUUGUGUUCGGUUUCGGUUAGUAUGGAUAUAGUAAUAUAAUAACCAUUCGGAUAUAGUAAUAUAAUAACCAUUCGGAUAUUUUAGAAAUUUCAGUUCGGUUAGUCUUCAAUUCGGUUUGGUUGUUAACCGAAUUAACCGAUAAUUCCUGUGAAUUCAAACUCAUCCUGCUAAUGUUAAAAGUCUUAAAUUAAAACACCAAGUGAGUAAAAGGAAAAGAAACAAAACAUCCAAGUCUAACUACGAACUAAGUUGAGAUAAGAGAAGGACAUAGUUCUAAGUUUGAAAAACAAAACAAAAGAAAAUCUAAGUUUAAGCCGAGAUAAGAGUGAGAGAAGAAGUAAAACAAAGUUGAUCAGACCAAAGCUUUGCCAUUCCCAUGAAGUAAAGAUUGAUGAGUCCUAUUGUGUCCUCCAAAGCAACCAAGUAACCAAACAUCUAUUCAAUUGAACAUACAAGGUAAACAUAUAAUCAUAUAUCAUAUGUAUAGAUUCGGUUUUUUCGGGUUUAUUUCGGUUAUCAGUUAGUAACCGAAACCGAACCUAACCCGAAUUUUGAGACAUAUAAUAACCAAUCGGUUAUUUGAAGAUAACCGAAACCGUUAACCGAAACCGAACCGAUUCGGUUAAUCGGUUCGGUUAAUCAGUUAUUGGUUAUUUAGGCCAGGCCUAGGUCAUGUGAUGGAACGGAUUAUAAUUUACAUAAUUAUUAUUAUAGAUAUUUUUACGGGUGGUUUACUAUAGUAUAACUCACAAAAUAUUUUAAUAUGAAAUUAUACUAUGUUAACGAAUAUUAUGUCAAUAUCAUUUCAUUAUUUUAGAUAUUAUACUUAUUUAAUUAAUUUGAUCAAAUUACGAUUAUAUAAACGAUAAAUUAUCAUAUAAUAUUUUACGGGUUGAAUCAUAGAAUUAACAAUCAAAAUAUAGUUGUACACUCUUUUAUACCAAACAAAAUUAAUAAAAAGAAUACAUUUUAGGAAUAUCAUCCCGCGGUGUACCGCAAGUUAAAAUCUAGUUUAUUAUUAUUUUUUAUAUUUCCUAAUAUGUUAAAUGAAAGAUUUUAAUCAGAAUUAAAAAAUAGUAUAUGAAAGGAGGUUUCAAAAUUAUUCCAAUCUUUAUCAAUUUGAAUUACCUAUAAAAAAGAAUAAUAUUUUAUCAGUAGCAUAAAUAAUGCAAAACUAUAGAGAUCCAUAUUGUAUAUCUAGAAAUGGUUAUAUUUGAAUUUUGAAAAAAAAAACCCAAAGGUGUUUUCUAUAAGAAUUCAAUUUACUAACUUACAAACCCAAAACAUCGACACCCUCUCCUCACAAUAUAUAGUCAUACAUUUGUUGAAUAAGGGCAUCCGUUUUUUAUUUCCAACUUUUACAUUUUAUUUUGAGUUUUUUCUUAUGAUUUAUCGUUUACUAUUUUUUCUUUUUUAUCGUAUACUAUUUUAGUUUAUGGUCUCUUAUUCAAUAUGAUGUAUGUUAAUUUUUUAUUUUAUUUUUUAUAGGAUACAAGUAUAUAAAAAUCUUUCAAACUCAUAUGUUCUUAUGUGAUACAUGUAUAUACAAACUUUCGUUAAAUAUUAUACUUUUCAUGAUUCUUUUUUAAAUACACGGGUUUUUGCUGAUUGGUUCGUUACCACAUAUAUUGUGAGUAUAUAAUUUCUUUAAUACACGUUUUUAUUUACUUUAUUAAAAUAUUAUAUUUAAUUUCCGAAAACACACUUUUCUCAAAUAAUUGAAACCAAAUAUACAUUUGGAAAUAAGAAUUGUUGAUACUAAAAUAAACGAAAUAAUAACACAUACGACAAAACACGUUAAAAUAAAAUAAAAUAAACCUAGCAUAUGUGACAAAGUACACAUUCACGAUAGUACAUAUUCUCAUACUUGCCAAAUUCAACACCAACCAUCCAUUUUAACAAUUAAAAGUUUACGUAAUUCGGAAAAAAAUAAAAACCGACAUUUUUCCCCCGCGCUGUAGCGCGGAUCCGAGCCUAGUAGCUAGUACAUUACAUUUUAAACUUUCCAUACCAUUAUUUCAAUUUUAUACAUUCAUACUAGCUAAAACCAUACAGUAUAUCCCACUUUUUCUAUUAAACCUUAAGAUAUAUAUAUAUAUAUAUAUAUAUAUAUAUAUAUAUACAUCUUUCAUCAGUAUCAUUUUAGAGCACUUGAUAUCUUUUGUAUUCUCAAUAAAUUAACAUACCUAAUUCAUGAUGAUCACCAAUUCAAAAUGUACAAUAUGUCAAAACCUUGUUUCGUAUAAAAGGUUUUCUCAUCUUAUUAAGUUUUGUAGGCUUAGCCUUAUAUACACGAGUACAAAAUAACCAAACUAUACAGCAAGUAUAUAUUAAUUACAUAAUACUUCCCUCUUCAAUACAAUACAAUUACAAAAAUAAAAAAUAAGUUUCUGAAUAUGUGGUAAUUAAUUUUACCCUUAGGCGUCAAUUAUUUUGAAUGCUUAAAGUUUAAAGUAUGUUGGAUGGAAACAGAAACAGAUACGUGGAAACGAAACGUUUCAGAAACGAGAAACAUAUUUUUCAUAAAAUUAAGAUAUGAAAACGUUUUGGAAAUGCUAAUAUAACACGUUAAUCUUAAAUAUAUAUGCUAAAUAGUUUAACUAAAACUAAAAGAUAAAUAUUAAAACACAGAAAUCCAUAAAUUCAGAUAUUUAUAUAUCAUAUAUUAUUGUGUAGAUAUGUAUUUAAUUAAUUUAAUCAGGUUUUAAAGGUAUAAAAGUAAUUACUUUAUAUAUCAUAAAUAAAAAUAUAUGUUUAUUGAGUUUCUAACUAAAAGUGUAAUAUUUCAUCGGGUUUCCAAAAUGGAUUUACGAGUUUCUAUCGUGUUUCUAAAUAAAUAAAAUUAGGAACCGUGUUUCCGUUAUAGUUUCCGAGUUUCAAAAAGUUUCUGUUUCCAAAACGUUUCGGAAACGGAAAACUCACUUCGAAAUGAGUUUCUAUGCAACCUAGACUCUAAACUAAGAAACUGGAGGAAAGACAAUUGAUAUAUAAAUUUAUGUGUAUAGAUAUGUUUUUUUUGUCUUCUGUUUGUAACUAUCUUAGAGAGCCGCAUUCCAUGUAGAAAAUUUAAAGUCGGUGAAUUCAAUAUUCCAAAGUUUAAAUUCUCUUCGGGUUUGACGCCUCAAAUAUUUUGAAAGGAUCAUCUGUUUCAGUUGGUGGUUACUGAGAACAUAACAGGAGUGAUUCUGUUCAUCGGCCAAGUUCUUGAUCCGUUGCAUUGAAAACUAAUUUGGAGCUAACUACUGGUUCACUACAAGAAAACAAGGCAAAAACCUACCAAUUUUCCUACCAAACUAGUGGUAGGAUAUAUUUCCUACCAUUUAUCUAGGAAUUUUUUACGAAAAACGAAUGUUGUAGGAAAUUAGAAGUAUAUUUCCUAUAAAACUUUUUUGUGAGAAAGUCGUAAGAAAAUAUCCUACGAAAAUCCUACCAAAAGUAAUCAAUAAAUGAGCUGUGUCUUUACGAGUGGUCUUUAAUGUGUGUAAUAAUAAUAACAUCCUUUGUCUUAUAGCUCAUAAUGCCUCAUAUAUAUAACUAGAAAGCUGCCCACGCGAUGCAUGAGUUAUAUAUGAAAUAUUAAUUUGAAAUAUAAAUUGAAAAUUACAACAGUAUCUAUAUUAACAUUUUUUAAGUACCUUUUGUGUUCUAUCCUUUCAUUUUGUGAUAUUUUCAUAAUUAAUCCCUUGCCAUUUGAUUAAAUAGAAAAAGUUUAAGAUGAAAUUUAAAAUUGUAAAAUUAAAAACCAAUAUUUAUUACAUUUAACAAAAAUUUCCUAAAAUCUCACCCUAAGAAAUCAGAUAUUUCUCCAGCAUCUUUAUAUGAUCUUAUCUGUUUUUAAAUUAUGUUAUUACAUAAACAUAUGUAUAGCAAAAAAAUAAUUUUUUUUUGCAUAUGUUGCCAUUUGAAUUUUUUGAAACAGAUGUAUAUUACUCAAACGAUACAAAAAUGGAUGUACUAAAGUAUUAAUGAUAAUUGUUUAGCACGGGUCAUGUGAUGGAACGUGUUAUAAUUUACAUAAUUAUGAUUAUAGAUAUUUUUACGGGUUGUCUACUAUAGUAUAAUUCACAAAAUAUUUUAAUAUAAAAUUAUACGAUGUAAACAAAUAUUAUGUCAAUAUCAUUUCAUUAUUUUAAAUAUUAUACUUAUUUAACUAAUUUGAUCAAAUUACGAUUAUGAAAAAAAAUUAUCAUAUAAUAUUCUACGGGUUAAAUCAUUGAAUUAACAAUCAAAAUAUAGUUGUACACUCUUAUAUACCAAACAAAAUUAAUAAAAAUAAUACAUUUUAGGCAUGUCGUCCCGCGGUGUCUAAAACAUAAAACAUAAGUAAUUCUUACUUACAUCUAGUAGUUUAUAAGUAAUUGUUAAUAUAAAACAUAUUUGUGUACAUUAUAAACAGUAAAAGUAAAUAAAAUACAUAUUUGAAAAAUAUAAAACCGAAUGAGAUCCAAAAAAAGUAAUACAAAUUAGCACAUACAUAAUAUAGUAGGCUACUGUAAAUUGAUGUUAAUUUUUGUGUGUGUACAUUGUUAAUAUUAAAAGUAAACAAAACUCACAUAAUUUAUGAGUAUUGUUUUUUUAAUUGAAUGUUGAUAAGAAUAUCAAGCUAAACUUUGCAAAAUAUCAAUUUAACAUAUUUCACCUGAGAUAUAUGAUCUUUAAGACCUUAUUUAGAAAAGCAUUUUCAAUUUAGAAAAUAUUUCACCUGAGAUAUAAGAGCUUUUAAACCAUAAUUAUGUAAAACACUAAAAAGAUAAAGCAAAAGCCAAAUGAACACUAUUAUUUGAGAAAAAGAACUUUGAUAUUUUCAUUCUAAUUGAUUGGAAAAGAAGCUCACAUAUACGUAGAUGAGAUCCUUUUUUAUAUAUUAAGAUUUUUGUAUGUAGAAUUUGUUCAAGAAUAAAACUAAUAUUGAAACCAUUUAAGAACAAACAUAAAGAUUUACAUUACUAUAAAAGCUAAAGAAAGGAAUUUAUAUUAAAAAGGCAUCACAUGUUUACAUCAGCAUUAACAAAGAAGAUGAACGAAGAUGAAUUGCUCUUAAGAAAUCAAUUAUGUUCGGUCUCUCUAGGAAAAUCUAAUUUGGGUUAGAUAUUUAUAUUGUUAUGAAAAGAAAGACUAUUAUUUAGAACAAAUGAUUAAGUUACUAAAAAUGUAGAGUGGAUAUGAUAUUAUUGUAUAACUCAUACUUAUCAAAUAUCAUAAUUUAAUAGAAUUUUAGUGAAGCUCACUAAUUCACUGUCUACUCAAUUGAUGAAUGAAUUAAACUAAAUUUAAAAUUUAUGAAGUGUAUGAUUUAAAAAAAAAAACAUUUCAAUACCAAUUUUUUAAAACCAAGUACUUUUUAUUUAUUUUUAAACAAUUAGACCUCAAAUUUUAAAUAAAUUAAAUAUUAUAACAAUCUUUAUAUAAUAAUCUAUUGGAUCACAAACUAAAUAUAAUUAUACACAUAUUGAAAUGAAUUACAAAAAAUUAUUUGAGAUUUAAAAAAAUAGAAGAAGUUAUUUGUUAAAGGUUUAAUUUGAAAAUUUUAUGUAUAUAGCAAUCAAAACUUUUAUUUUACAUAUGUGUUAUAUCAUACUUUCUUCAUUCAUACUCAUAUGUAUGAAAAAUAUGUAUAAUAAGGCAGUAGAAGAGGAGGAGGGAAUGAGAAAAUGAGAAAAUGAGUAUUUAUAAGAUGAGAAGUGAUGAGAGUUACAAUUUAGAAGAAAAAAUUGUGGGAGUUAAUUCUAAUUUAUUGCGUGUUGACUGAAAUUGAGUAGAAAAAUAUAGUAAAUGCAAAUUUAUAUUAUUUCAGUUUUUAUAUUAAAGUGUGAGUUAAAUGUAUAUAUUUUUUUUGGUGAAAAGUUAAAUGUAUAUAAUUAAUUGUGUUUUAAUUGAAUAUAUAUUUUUGCUUUUAAAUUAAAGUAUGAGAUAAAUAUAUAUGAUCAAAUUUUUUUUUUUGUGGCUUAAUUAAAAUAAUUUCUUCUUCAGUUUAAUAUUAAAGUGUGAGUUUAAUAUAUAUAACUAAAUGUGAUAUGAGAUUUUAUUAUAAAGUAAUCUUUUUUUUUGGCAAAAGAACUUUAGGUAUCAAAAGUUGGAUUCAGAAAUAGAUGCCAAGUUAUAUUUAUAGGAAAAAAAACUUUAGUUAUUACACAUAUGAAUUUUGGAUCCCAAUUAAUAAUUUUACUCAUAAUAUUUUUUUUCAUAUAUGAUUAUUUGGAAUUAAUAUUGACAUAAAUGUUUUAGUCAAAAAUAAAAAUAAAAACAAUUAAUGAAUAAAAAAGGAUGACACAUGUCAUCAACAGAGAGCGCCAAAUGUCGUAACGUGGUGAAAAGUUAGAAAAAACCUUGUUAUAUUAUAUAAGAUGAAAACAAAUAAUCAAUAUGAUAAUUCAUAUCUAUACUAUUAAUUGGGGAGCAUUAUUUGUCUUUGUUGCCAAACAAACUUGAAAAAAAAAAAUUACAAAAUAUACAAUCCCAACCAUGUAGCCAAACACACUAAAAGACAGUAAAAAUAUUUAAUUAAAUAAAUAAAAAUAAAAAACUAAGACUAUCUAUAUUUAUGGAAAUCAUAUUAAUUUUGUUACCAUAAAAAGUGGAAAAUUAAACUGAUAAUUCAUAUAAUACAUUAAAAACUGAUACAUCACUUAUAAUGGGAAAUACAUAAAAAUUGUCCAUCACACGUUAUUUAUGAUGUUAUCACACAAACUUCGUCGAACACAACAAUUAUAUAACAACAAUGCGUUAAUGAGCUCUUCGUUGCUUGCUUCGGCCAAAAACCUUCAUGAACCACUCAUGCUUGUACGAAACCACUAUGUGUCCCAUCACUAAUCCAAAUACAACUCCAGGUGCAAAGCCUAAACAUGCUGCCAUCCAACUAAAUGCUUCUUCUUCUUCUUCUUCUUUCGUCUCCACCUGUUCCGAUUGUGCUGGUGUCGGUGCUUUGAUAUCUCCACAAACAUCCUUAAGGGAAAAAGCAUUAAGCCCCAGGUUUCCUUCAUAGGAGGAGCAUUUUUGUCGUUGAAACUGUGUGCCUUGUGGUAUGGAACCUACAAGCUGAUUAUGUGAAACAUUUAUCACUUCCAGAGAUGAGAGGGUCCCAAGUUCAGGAGGAAUCUCACCAGAAAUCUUGUUUUGGGAUAGGUCGAGUGACUCCAGAUUCGUCAAAUUUGUCAAAGUAGAUGGGAUGUGCCCCGUGAAAGCAUUGCUUGACAUGUUGAGAAUAUGAAGUUCCUUCAACAGACCAAUGGAAUCAGGAAUUGGUCCAUGGAGUUGAUUUCCUGAAAAAUCAAUGGCUGUGUAGGUUGUAAGGAUACGUUCCAUCUCCAUUGACACUCCUUUAUUCAUCAACACAAGUGAGUAGUAGCCUGCUUCUGAAGGAUUCCUAAUGUACUCAGGUUCCAUAUUAUUAUCUCUCUUGGAGUACAUCACAGUCCAAUUCAAAAAGUAAUCUGAUGGCAAUGUACCGGAGAAGUCAUUGUGUGAUACAUCAAUGAUUUUCAGAUGAGGAAAUCCAAACCAAACCCCAUCAGCAUUACGUAAUGUACCAUGAAACCUGUUAGAGUGGAGGACAAGGACUUGAAGUUUCUGCAGAGAAUUCAAGUGGAAGGGAAACAUGUCUUUGAUUGUGUUGCUUCCCACGUUCAAAACUUCCAAAGCAGAGCAACCAACAAGAGAAGCUGGUAUUUUUCCCUCUAAUCGGUUGUGACUGACGUCAAGUGACGUUAAGCUCUUGGCGUUCCAAAAUAUUUCAGGAAGAAUUCCGCUGAGUAUGUUGUUACGGAGAUUUAGGUAUAAAAGAGAACUCAUUUUCAUAGUCUCUAAACACCAGGUAAUUGAACCAUGGAGGUUGUUGUUUGAUAGAUCUAGGACCUCUAGAGAGCUUAGUCCACAUAUUGAUUGAGGGAUCUCUCCAGUGAAGUUAUUCUUAGAACCCAAAAAAUAUAGGAGAUGCUUGGAGGAUGGGAUGAAGAGUGGUCCUUGGAAAGCAUUUGAUCUUAGAUCAACAGUAUUGAUUUGACUCUCCGGAGAAAGUUCUAAGGAUCCAUUGAAACCGCUGAGAGAGUUGUUAGAGAGAAACACAUACUCCAAUUUUGGCAGUCUCCACAACCAGUCUGGUACAUGACCUUUCAUUUUGUUGUUGGAAAGAUCUAAUUGUUGUAGAUUUCUUCCUUUUCUUAUGAACUCAGGGAACUCAGUGAUGUUGCAGCCACUCAAAAUUAAAUCUUCCAAACUUGAUGGGAAAUCCGAAUCAAGAAUGAUGUUUGUUGUUGAAAGAGGGAUGCCCGAGAGAUAUAACCAAUCUAGCUUCUUGAGAGGAAAGAAGACAUUUAAGUUAACUUCUGAAUCAAAGACUUUGUUGUGAUUUUUAUUCUCAAUAGAAAUUUCUUGUAAAUUAGGUAACAAAGAGAUAUUUGAAAUCCCAGCAAAGUCGUUGAAUUGGUUAUAACGCAAAAAGAUUUCGGUCAAAGAGGGAAUCUUGACUAGGGAUGAAAGAAUGGCUCCUUUAAAAGAACUGUCAUCAGCUGAAAAAUACUCUAAUUUGGAGAAUCGACUAAUGAUUGGUGGAAGAGAACCUGUGAACUGAUUGUAAGAGAGACCGAGUGAACGUAGUUGGGUAAAAUUGAGUAUUGAAGCUGGCAAGUUUCCACUGAGCUUGUUUACGGAAACAUCAAAAAUGGUCAACUGUUUUAGAUUGCCAAUUGAAGAUGGAAUUUCACCAACAAGAUUAUGAUUCCAACUAAGAUCGAGUAUAGAGAGAUGAGAAAGGUUCCCAAGUGAAAAUGGAAUCUUCCCUGUGAAAUGAGAAAAGGAAAGAGUCAAAGAAAUCAAAUGUUUGAGGCUGCUAAUGGAGUCUGGUAUGGGACCAGAAAAGGAUGUUUCUUUAAUGGUCAGAUGUAGCAAAGAAUUAUUCUCACGAAAAUCAGGAAGAUUGCCUCUCAAAUUUGGAUUGAAUCUUAAUCUAAUGGACUGUAGGCUGGGUAUCAGAAGAACACUACUUGGAAAUUCUCCAAAGAGGCUGCAAUUUCUAAGAUAUAGUGACCUUAGAGAUUGCAUGUUUGAAAACUCAUGGGGGAUUUCUGAAGUAAUGUUUACACUGCUCAUAUCUAGUUCUCUAAGAUUCCUCAAAUUUUGAGCAAGUAGAUGAAGAGAAGCUUUAUCAAUAGAUAAAGAAGAAGAGGAAUCAUAAUAAAAACUAGAAGAAAGAUCAAGAGAGACCAACUUGGUUAGCUUAAAAAGGUUGAUUGGAAUUUGGCCUGAUAGGGAAGAAUCAGAUAGGUUAAGUCUUUCUAGCCCCAUGAGUUUAUCAAACUCAGCUGGGAUUGGCGAAUUGUUGAAAUCGUUGCCAGCAAGGUUCAGAUCACGGAGAUGACGUAGUCUAUAAAGACUACUGUUGGAUUUUAGCUGGCCAUAUAGGUGGCUGGAACUAAGGUCAAGCCUUAUAACUUUGCCCGACUUAGCAUCAUCACACGCGAUACCAUCCCAAGAACAACAAUCACUUUUGUUCACCCAUGAUUCUGUCUUCGGAUAAGCGGAGUCUUGUACAUUACCGAAGUAAGGUUUCCGGAUCAAAAACUCACUCUUGAAAUCAAGAAGAACAUCUCUUUGGUCAGGCUGGCACAAGUGUCGUGUAGAAGAAACAAGCAUGUUUAGAAAACUCAAAACGAGAAAAAGGAAAGAGAUGGAACGAAGAAUGAAGCUCAUUCUCAGAUUAGAUAACAAAGCUUCCAUAUUUUUGAAACUGAAAAAAGUAGUGAUGGUAAAUUAGUGUUUCAUGUCACUACACAUAUAUAUACAAAAAAACAAACACAUUAAUUGACUUUACGGUCCCUAUUCCUUUUGAUGAAAAACGCUCAUUACUAAAAAACAAUCUCAUGAGUCCUUCCAAAUCUAAUAGACUUGACUAAAAAAAAGCAUAAAAACAAGAUUGCGACUCGACUACUAAACUCGUGUAACAUGUUUUAGAAAAUUUAGAACAAAAAAAGCAUUCUCAAUGAACAAAGUUUAGUGAGGGCAAAAGUCGUUGAAAAAUCAAAGUGCCGAGUAGAUGGGACUUGUGGCAUUUUGCUAUGAAAAUGCUUGCCAAGUCGUGCUCUGUCCAUUAUUAACCUAAAAGAAAAACGCCAAUAUAAGAGUCUUAAAAGGUAGUGGAAAAAUUAAAGGAAACGAAACUGGUAAGACUAGUUUGGCAUUACUAAGACUAGUUUAAAAUCUUUAUUGUGAACCAAAAAAAUCAGAAAAUUAUUUAAAACUUUUAUUGUGAACCAGAAAAUCAGAAAAAAAAAAAAAAAAACAGACUGAUUAUAAGUUUUGGUUAUGUCUCGCACUUAGGAAUCAUGAUCAUGUAACAGAGUGAUGCAACACACUUAUCACAAAUGAAGCGUAUUUUCUAAAAUCCAAAAAUCGAAAUCUGAAUAUAAUCAAACUGAACAAGCGAAAUAUAUAUUUUUAUUAUUAUUUUUUAGAGGUUUUACUGUAAUCAAACUGAACAAGCGAAAUAUAUAAUUUUAAAAAUGAAAUAUAUAAUUUUAGAGGUUUUACUGUAAUCAAACUGAACAAGCGAAAUAUAUAAUUUUAGAAUACCUUCAUUAGUAUGGCAUACAUUCACACACACAUGUGCAAGCUAUCUAUUUCGAACCGUGGUUGCACCUAACAAAGGUACCACUGAACUAGACAGAAUAGCUGCAGUUAUUGAAGAUCUAUCAAAAUUAUAUAUCCGUUGAUCCAUAUAACAUCAUACAGACGUUGAUGGCAUCGUGUUUUGCAAUCAAUGUAACAUUCACAAUUGAGACAUGUUCAGAAAACCAAAACCUUUUCCAUAUAAUGGGUUCUUUACGAUGGUUGCUUUCUCAUUCUCGAGAUGGUAAAUAUGAAUGAAGUGAUGGAACACACUUGUAAAAUACACCAAGAACAUCCCGUCCUAAUCCUAAAGCCACUCGGAAAGACUGCCACGACGUUUUUUUUCCUCAUCGUAGCGAUGCUUUCUCUGGUCUAAUAAUUCAAGUCGUCUAGUAAUCCAAUCCGGUAAAUCUGAGCUAAGCCAGAGAGCUUCACCUGUAUCUUUGUGCUUAAAGUCAGGUUGCUUCGGGUACUUCUUAUUUCUUCUGUUGUCCCACCACUCGUAUGGAUUCGCAAAGAAGACUUGCCACAAGUAUAUCUCAUCAUUCUUGGAUUCUUCUAUACCAUCUUCUAAGGAAACAUCAAAAACACACAAGUUCAUGUCAGCGGGAAAUUUGUCAUCUUUUCUCACAAAGUAACACUCAAAAUAACGAAUAAACUUUUUUAUAAACCCGAGUACCCGAAACCAAAAGCUAUAAAACAUGUUUCAAUGUGGGUUCAUAUACAAUUCCAAUAGAGGGAUUGAUGAAUAGCAGAGAUAAUAACCUGCUGCUGCUAUUGGUUUUUCAGAUAUCUGCGAAUCUAAGACAUGACUUGGUGGAACCGCCGCAUAAUUCACCUCUGUCACAUUAACCUGCAAUCAAACACAAUUGACAAACCUGGUGAUUUUUAAGCAACACAGAAGACAUAUUAUUAACAUUACAGAUACAUGAAGUUAAUAAGAUAUAUGUAAACAGAUCUCGACUACACAAGACAUCAGGAGAAGCUGGUGGAAGUAGUAGGGUUUGAGUUAAUAUUUACGGUCAAGAAGAAAAAAGUACCUGGUAACCAAUAUCUAAGCCGCAAGAUUCAUCGCUGGAGCUCUUGCUGUAAGAAACAAGACGGCCUGAGACAAGAAUGUGAUCAUUUGGCUUCAGAUGCGCAAUACACAUCCGUGCCAUUGCAUCCCACAUACUAAGAUAUAUCCUGUCAUUGAAAUUGCAUAAUCACAUUAACAAAGACUAAUACAAAAGUAAACCAUGAAAUGGCCAUAACGAAUGUGAGAAUCAUUCAGUGUUUGAGCUACAUUAAUUGUUUAUUGCAAUCAAGAAUAAACCACUCAUCAAUCUUCAAAUGUAUCUAAGACUUUAUCAAUCACAAGGCUUAGGAACAGUACAGGAUUAUGCAUAGAUCAUAACUAAACAUCAAUAAGGCUAAGUAAUCCAUAGAAUCAGAUUCUAAUCCCAAACUUUAGAAACCCUAAUUGUAGAUUAAGCAACAUACUAUGAACAAACUUAGAUUACAUAAUCUAAGACUUCAACAAUCACAAGGCUUAGGAACAAUACAAGAUCAUGCAUAGAUCAUAAUCAAACAUUAUUAAGGCUAACGAAUCCAAAGAAUCAGAUACUAAUCCCAAAAUCUAGAAACCCUAAUCGUAGAUUAAGAAACAUACUAUGAACAAACUUGAAUUACAUAAUCGAAACCACCAAAACGCAAACCGAACAAACCUGACCUAAAGCUCUGGUUCGGAUAGAUCGGGUGUUUCAGUCUAAGCAUAGUGUAAACACCGAACCUAUCAGGUCCAGUGUCGAUGACUCGUAUGGGUCGAUCAACGAAACCAAUAAGGCUAACGGAGUUGGAAUGAUUGAGCUUGAGCUUAAUCGAUAAUGGUUUCUUGAACAAACGCGCGUGGUGAUAAACCGCACUUUCUCCAUCGGAGAAGAAACGAGAUUUGGGGAAAGGAGAAGAGAUUUUAGAAGCAGUGCGUUGGAUCAAGCUUCUGAAUUUGAAGAACGUGUUCAUCUACUCGAGAUGCGAAUCUAGGGUUUAACUUGGCGGGCAUUUUUUUUUGUUUCUCUUGCUGAUUUGAUCUUUCGGAGACAGAGGAGGUCUCGAGUUUCUUGUUAUUGGGUUUUGAUUGUAAUAUUUGAUUUUAGGCCCAUUAUGGAUUUAGCCCAUUAGAUUCUGAUCUGUUGAUAUGCAUCUUUUUUUUUUAUUAUUAUCUAAAAACCAUUGUGAAAUGUGAGAAAGAGGGAAAAAAACCUAGUAAUCAAUUAUUGUAAGAGACAUGAUCGACCAUUCCAUGUGAUUUUGAUUAGAAGACAAUGGAAUCUCACAAAUAAUAGUCUUACCAUAAGAACUUUUUGAAUUUCAAAGUAAUGUGAUAUUUCUAUAGUCAAUUUUCUCAAAAUGUUACACAACAUUAUUUACCAUGAAGUUAUAUUUGAUACUCAAAUUUAUUUCAUUUUAUACAUUCAAAGAUAUUUUAGACUUUACCGUGAAUUUCUCAAAGGGUUACACAUAUCGUCUUACCAUAAGAUUAUAUUAGAUAGUCAAACUUAUGUCGCAUUACCUAGUCAAAGAUUUUUUGACUUUUGCGAUCAAUUUCCUAAUAUCUUUCAUAAUUAUCUGUUUAUAAAAUUCUCUUCCAUAGUCAAACUUAUGUCAUGUUAUCUAGUUAAAUAUAUUUAGAAUUUCACAAUGUAUCUCCAAAAACGUUACAAAACUUUUUAUCUAGUCAAAAUAUUUCAAAUUUCACAAUGAAUACCUCAAAGAUUACAUAAUUAUCUUGCCAUAAGAAUCACCAUUUGGAAGUCAAACUUCUUCAGUCAAAAACAUUUAAUAACUUUGACUCAAGUUAUUGAUAAGAUUUUGAGGGUUUCUUAUAAGAGUAAGGAUAACUGUUGUGAUUUUUUCCAACUCCAAUUGAAAGCCUCUCUCCAGCUCCAAGGUACCACAUCUCUGAGUGUUGUGAUUACAACUUCUUCGGCUAGACUAAAAUGAUUAUUAUCAAUGGAUGUAGACUUGAAGAAUCCGAAAGACGUUGUAAUGUUUUAGGAAAUUUUGUUUACAUGGUAAGGUGAAACGAAAAAAAAGAAGAGAUCUUAAGUUCUCCUAUUUUACUAAACCAUGCAUCCAAUAUUUUCUUGAAAUAUUUCAACUUCUUUCGGAUUCUUCAAGUUUACUAUAGUCAUCAAAGAUCAUUACAAACCUUCUCACAUAAUCAACACAUCUGAUCAACACGAAUAAUUACUCAAUAGAUGUUCUUGUCGAAUCAAAACAUCCACAUUUAAUAGAUUCUUUGAAUCACGUUGUUAAGGUUUCCAUGGCUGCCUUGUCUUAGCUAAUUGAAAUAUUCUCUACUUUCAUGAUUUUGCUUUUUUUUGGAGCUUUUUAAAACAAUAAAUUUAUUUAUUUUGUUUUACCAAUAUAAAUUAUUAUUUAUUAUUCGAAUUAGUCAGAGCUCGAAGAAUAUUUAACCGAAUUUAGUAAAAAUUAGCUAUAGAUCUAUUUUUCAAUCAACUAUUCGAACCGACCAGAACCCAAAAAAUACAGACUAAACCAAAAUUUCAAAAUACACAUUCAUCGUAUUGAAAAUAUCUAAAACCAGAAAUAACCGACCAAACCCGAACCGAUUAUAGUAACCUCAUUAGUCAUUCCUAAAUUAGAGAGUGACAUUAAAAAAAAAAACACAUAACGAUUUAAAGCGUUCGUCGUGAAACGCAAUUUUAAGUUUUUAAUCUCCAAAAAAGCGUUUUUUUGGUACUGUUACCACUUACCAGUAAAAAGAGGAUAAAAUACAAACAAAAAAACAAAAAACAUCCAACCAAAAAAAAAAAAAAAAAAAAAAAGAAAGAGACAAAGACACAACGGGCGAGAGAGAGAGAGAGAGAGAAAGAACCAAACAAAUUCGUUUUUUUUUUUUCUUUCCCCUUUCUCUCUCACACUCUCUCAUCUUCUUCUUAUGAUUUUUCAACUUAUUACAAAACAAAGAUAGCAAAAAAAAAAAAAAACACAAAUCUUCAAAGUUGCAGUCUCAGGUGGUUCUCAGUUAAUGCUAACGCGUAAUGGCUGAAUCUAUCUCCCAAUUUCGUAAGUCACAUUCCCACAAAACUCUUCUCUGUGUUAAUUCUGAAAUUAAAAGAAAAAAAAAAAAAACUGAAUUUGCUGUUUCACGACUACAUUGCCCUGAUUCAUAGGCUCUGAAUUUCUCAAAUUUAGGGUUUUUUUUUCUUGGUGGUUUCUCUUUUGUCUGAAUUGUCGGUGAAAUUGAGAUCUUUGAGCAUAAGGGUUUGUUUAUUUCUUAGUCUUUAUUACUUUCCUUAAUCUAUUUUGAGCAGAUCUGGAACAUAAACCCUAGAAACAGAACCAUAUCUAUUGUCCUCCUAACUCUUAGGGAUUUGUAGUGUCUCUCUCUGUUGAUAUAUCUUUAAUGUGUUUCUAAAUUGACAGUGCUAAAUGGGUCACACUUGAUUUGUAAUAAAAGUUCUCAAUUCUUCCACUUUCAGUAAUGUUUCACUGUUUCAAGUUACAUUUUUCAAGAUUUACUAUUUUGGGGAAUUAGAUUUUAAUUUGGAUCUUUGGUCUCUUUACAUCAGCUUAACCAUGAUUCAGUUCAAUGAUGUUUUCAACUGUUCAUCUUAAUUGGAAUCAUUAGCUUCUUCUUUUGUUUUUUUUUGGUUAGUUGUAAUGAGUUGUUGAACCUUUGACUUGUCUCCUAAUCUCUUACUUAAUCUAUCUGUAUCAUCUUCUUCUGUCUAUUUCUCAUUAAUUUAUUACACAUACUCAACUACAUGAUACAUCUUAUUGUCUUCAUGAUUGCAUCUGACAUGGUAGCAACUCUUUUGGAACAUGACUUGAUAUUAUAACACUAAAACCUGCUCUCACACUUUUUUUCAUCUUCUUUUGAUCGUUGUAUAAUUGGGGUUGUAACUUUAGUGGAUUUGGCUAGGAUUACAAAAAAAAGAUGACUUGGCCUUUAUUAUGUAUUAAAGAUGGAAAAAUAUGAGACCAAUCUUGUUUAUUUUAAGAUGCAUGCUUUAUUAUAUUUAUGCUUUUGUUGUGUAUAACUGAUUGAAGCCGGCCAAGAGAGCUUGGUGCUGACUUUUUUAUGAGCUGUUGUUGUGUUUCAGCCAACCAGCAUAAGAUAAAAUUAAAUAGGAAAAGUUUUUCAUUUCGGUCUCUUAAGUUCUAUGAAAACAUAAUGUGGCUCAGAGGUCUUUGCUUGUGCACCUUUCACAAUCUUUUAUUGAUUGAUGUUGUUUAUAUACAGGAUAACCUCUGCUGAGGCAUCCAAGUGUUGAAGGGAGAGGAAGAGCCUACGCAGAAGAAAGGUCAGACUUUGAUUUGAAAUUGUGUGGUUAAUGUGAACAUCAGAGAUCAAAAUGUGUUUUCUAUCUUUGUUAUGUCUCGAAUCUUCAUUGCGAGUCCAAUAUUUGAACAAGAAUUUAUGAAUUUGCAGGUUGGUCAGAGUCGCUGCUAGAAUUUCGUUCAGAGGUUGGGGAAAAGAUGAAAUUUGUGUCAAAGAAACGAUGGAAGUCUCUUGGACCUCUUCAUCUGAAAAGCAAAUCAGUUGCUCGGUUUUGCUUCUUUUCGAAAUUGAAGUCAAACAACCAUGGUCCAGGCCGUGCACCAGUCUAUCUCAAUGUUUAUGACUUGACACCUAUUAACGGAUAUAUCUAUUGGGCUGGCCUUGGUAUAUUCCACUCUGGUGUUGAAGGUAAGCUUUAGGGGAUUGUGUUUUCUUGCUGCUAUGGUCUUAAGUGUUCAAAAGAUUUGCAUCUGUGGUGUACUUAUAGUUACUGCUGGCUAACUAUGAACAUUUGGUUUUGUGCACAGUUCAUGGAGUAGAGUAUGCUUUUGGUGCCCAUGAUUAUCCAACCAGUGGUGUUUUUGAGGUUGAACCAAGGCAAUGCCCGGGCUUCAAAUUCAAGAAAUCGAUAUUCAUUGGAACCACAAAUUUAAACCCAGCACAAGUUAGAGAGUUUAUGGAGGACAUGGCUUGUAGUUACUAUGGGAAUAUGUAUCACUUGAUUGCUAAGAACUGCAACCACUUCUGCCAGGACGUUUGUUACAAGCUUACCGGCAAAAAGAUCCCAAAAUGGGUGAAUCGGCUUGCACAAAUAGGUAAUGAAAAGGUCUACUGCAUUCUGCAUAUUGUUCAGUAACUCUGUUAGAUAUAUUCUGAAGACAAAGUUUGCUUUUUAUCUGCAGGGUCUGUGUGCAGCUGCAUACUUCCCGAGUCCCUCAAGAUAACAGCGGUUUGCCACGAUCCAGACGGGCAAAUCCCAGAAGAGGAAAAUGAAAAGCGAAGUCUUAGAAGCUCAUUCAGCUGUUUAUCCUCCAUCUCCAUGAGACAAAAACAGCUUUCAACAUCCUCAUUGUUCCUACAAUCACCUCUUAGAGGCUGCUUACCUCCAUGGCAACUCAAACGCUCGAAAUCUAACAGCAGUUCCUUGAAAGAAAGGUAGAAAAAUCCAACGGUUUCUCAUUCGUUACCUUAGCAACACGCUCCACGGUUUAUCUUUGUAAGGGAGUUCGAAAACAGAGUUCCCGAACCAUCAUCAGUCUCUUCCAUCUCUCAUUUUAUUUUUAACAGGCUUUUACAAGCCAUUCUUCUUCUUCCUCUACUCUCUGCUUGUAUUGCUUCCAAAUUUGAAUCUUUUAAAAUCAUGUAUUUGUCUCUCAACUCUGUUUAUAUAUCUAAAUUAGCUUAUCUUAGUUCAAACCCCAUUUCUAUUGAAAUCAAGAACAACACUGAAUUAAAAAACGAAACCUUUAUUCGAUAACCAUUACUAUAAAUCAAUCGAUAAACGAACGAUCAACAUCAUCAUCAUCAUCAUCAUCAUCAUCAACAACAACAUCAACAAGAAACCCAAUUCUUAUGAGUACUAACAAUAGCUGAAAACAAACCUGCUGAAGAAACCACACUAGGAGCAGAUAACACUCCCUUACCAUCACCAAUAUCCGAAAUCGUCAUCAAACCAUCAGCAAGAUCUUGCAAUAUAGAUAAAACCUUCAAUGUCUUCUUCUCCUUAAUCAUCUUCAUCUUCUCAUCUUCACCUUCACAACCAAUCCCUCUCGAAACCGAGAUCUCGAUCGUCGAAGCAACACAAGUCUCUUCAUCUCUCAAUCUCCUCAAAUCCCUAACCUUCAUCGAAACACUACCAACAUACCCAACCAAUUCAGCCCAAGCACUAAUCUUCUGAAGCAAUUUCGAGUAUUUCGCAUCGAUCAAUCCCGAUUUCGUCAACCAUAUGAACUGUUCGACGAAAUAGUACAGUCCUUCGCCACCGUACGCGAUCAGAAUCAAUACGAGUUCCUGAUUCGAUUCCCACCGCGAAGAUCUUAGUGCGUUGAUGUCUUGCACGAAUUUACCGAGACGGAAGGCUUUACGGCUAACUCCGACGCUUGAUUCGAAGGUUUUGAGACGAGGAACUAUGGAUUUGGUUUCUGGGAUUAGAGAUGAUGCGAGGAUGAUUUUGGUAGCGUAACGAGAGAUCUUUAAGAGUUUGUCUACGCCAUCUCGUUUGGAUAAGUAUGUUUCGAGAUGGUUUAGGAAAUCUCUGUCUUUGGGUUUUGGUUUUGCAGCCAUUGGAGAUAUUAUUGUUCCUCAAGGAAGAAGAAGAAGAAGAAGAAAGAUAACCAAAAAUCAAAAGUUUGAUUAAUUGGUUUGCGUGCCCGCACCGAUUUGUCCGGUUUAAAUGAUUGUGGUCAACCCAUAUCUAAAUUAUCUAUGAUGCACACCUUUAAUCAUUAAGAGCCGGAGUCGUUUAAACGCAGCAGUUGCAGCUGCGGUUACGGGAGUUUACGGAAGUAUACGGUUACGGUUUCAAGCGUUAUUAUACGUUUUGAAUGACUGAUUGAACGUUUAAAAAUAGAUACCUUUACGGGAGUUUUAUGAUUAAUUAACCAGCGCAAGCAAUAGCGAUUAAAUAAAAAAUUACAAAAUAGGUAUAAAUAUAGUUAGACAAAUAUAUAAAUAUACCAAAAUCUAUAUUAUUAUGAUAAAAUGUAUUAAAAAUGAAUAUGAUUGAUAACUAAUAAAAAGCCUUAUUACUGAAUAAUUAUUGAUAAAUAAUAAUUUUUUGAGAGAAUUUCAAAAAUACCUCUUUGCAUAUACCUCUUUUUAAAAAUACCCCAUUUUCAAACUUUAUCAAAAAACCCACUAAAAAUGUUGAAAUUUAUCCAAAUAUGUGUGUAAGCUUAUAAAUAUAUACACAAUUACCUUUAUAUGUGUAUAAAACUUCAUAUACCUUUCAUAAAUAGCGUAAAAAUAAAUUAUAAAAACCUUAUAAAAACCAUAUAAACCCUUUUAAAAACCUUUUAAAAGCCUUAUAAAACUUAUAAAAAUGAUUUAAAACUAUUUAAAACAUUUUAAAAUAUUUGUAUUGAAUCUCCCAGUAGUAGUUAUUAUAUAGAAGUACCUUAUAAACUAUAUAAAACUUUAUAAUUUUUUAUAUUUAAAAGGGGGUAUUUUUGAAAAUGGAUAGAUAAAAGGGGUAUUUUUAAAAAGAGGGUACACCAAAAGGGGUAUUUCUCAAAAAUUAUCUAAUUUUUUUAGUAGAAUAUAUUUAAGAAAAAUUAUUAAAAUUUUAAACAUGAUUAAUAAUAAUAAAAACAUAAAGAACUACUAGAUAUAAAUACUAAAUAAUCAUUCAAAUGUUAAAUAAAUAAAUUUUGUUUAGGUAACACAAAUCGAUACACAUUUUGUUUAUUAAAUGAUAAAAUUGAAAUUUGAUUUGAAAACUAUUAAGAUAGUUAAAUUAUUUUUCUGAAAAUUGAGAUUAAAAGAUUUUGAUAACACCCACAUUGCACUUGCACCGUAGGAUAUAUGGGUAAAGGCAUUUUUAAAUAAAAAAUAUUAUUUAAUUCAUGAAGUUUCAAAUUUAAACUAUUUAAAUCAUGAAUUUCUAUGUGGUGAUUCAAAACAUGAAAUUUUCGUUAACUUAAAUUGAAAACAUUAUUUUUUCAUUGACUAAGCCAAAAUAAACAUCAUAUCUUCAAAUUCUUUUUAAAUAUUUCAUUUAUAUCAAUACAAUUUUACGUUUCAAAAAGUGGUUAGAAACACACCAAAUAAUAAGAAAAAGGAGACACAUUUAGUUUUUGUUCAAAAUUCCUUCAAACUGAAUUUUAUACAUUAAGUUGAGAUUGGUUAUCGUAGUUUAAUUGAUAGUGCUUCAAUUUCGUGGACAACCUCGUGCGGACUCCUUGUCCUCUUUGUCAGUCAAAGAGUUUCUAUUCUAAUAUCUUUAAGUUGUUUAAUAUUUUUGUUGUUUUGAAUCAAAUAUAAAGUAAUGAAGGUAAUGAAUUUGAAAUAUGCCAUAGAAAAUAUGGCAUAGGAGCUAUUCUUGUAUUUUCAAAAUACUCAUCAACUUAAAACCAAAUGUAAUAGUAGUAAGCUAAAUUAUAAAUAAAAUUUGUUUUCUCUAUUCGAGUUUAUGAUUCUCUAUUAAUAAAAUAUAAUAAAAAAAGUAUACAAUAGUUCUAUAACAUCAGUUAGAUAGGAAAAUAUAAUAUUUUUCUCAGAUUUUAUUUAGAACUUUUUUUUUUUGAGGAUUUUUUCUUAAUAACUCAUAACUGAUCCCAAAAGUUUUCUAGGCCCAAAGACUAAUCUUUUGGGGCCGGAGGAGACCAUGUUAAAUCUCGAACCUCCGUGGCCAAUGCUACUCAAACCCAGGUGAUACGUCGGUGGAAAAGAAUGUUUGAUAUGUCGUGGCUUGUACGCGCAUGUUUGAGCGCGUGGAUUUUCAUUUAAAGACUAAAUUUUGUACAUAUAGAAUGUAAUUUCGAGAUUUCACCAAAAAGGGAUGUAAUCUAUAUAUACAAAAUAUUUUUAUUUCUUUCUAAAAUAUUAAGAUAAGUCUUAGAAAAAAUUUGAAUUAAACUUUCUAAAUAUUUAAUUGAAAUAAAAAAAAAUUAUAUCAAAGAUAAGAGUGAACUUAACCUUGACCCAAUCCAUCUAUAAAUAUGGAGUAGAGUAGUAGCAAGAAGAGCAACACAACACCACUAAAAACAUAUCUCUAAAUUUAAGAAAUGGCUCCUCGUCAGAAGAGAGAGAUCAAAUUCAUCGAGAACGAAAGAUCAAGGCUAUCUACUUUUCAUAGACGUCAAUGUAGCAUUUUCGAGAAGGCUGAUGAACUCUCAAAGAUACCUGAUGUUGAAGUCCGCGUUCUCCUCGUCUCACCCACUAAUAUAUCGUAUACGUUCGGUAAACCAAGCCUCAUCAAUAAUGUUGAACGUAAUCUCAUGAAAGAAUUGGAACAACUCGAAAUGCAUGAGGAGGUAUGUGUAACCCAUUAGUUAUCAUAUAUAUGUUAUGAUUAUUAUUUCUUAUGUUUAGAAUUAUUUUGUAAAUUUUAGUUGUUGAGGAAGAGGAACCAAGAAGAACUUGAGAAGUCCAAGAUGUUGGAGAAAGUAGAAUUGGAGGACUUGGUUGCUUUCAAGGAGAAACUGGAGGCCCUUCGAGCAGAUCGAAAGAGGAGACAUGAAGAGAUGAAGGCUUCGGCUACUCUCUUGAUGCUCUCAGAAGAAACCGAGAAUAAGAAGAUGAAGAUUGAGGCAGAUCCAAGGGAAAAAUAUGAACUUCGGCCUAGAAUUCCCCGGAACUAUGUCGAAUAGACAAACAUUUCGGAACUAUGUUUUUAAUUUCAAGAAGUUUAUGGAACAAUUUUGGUUGUAAUUGAAGGACGUUGUGUGUUCUUCAUCUCUUUUGUCUUUUUCACAAGGAUUUUCAUAAGUCCCUUUUCAAUAAUACUACAGGAUUUUUUUUAAUAAUAAUUUACAAUAUAUGUGAUUAUAUAUUGUUAGGAAAUUUUGGCAUAAAGUGUCCCAUGAGUUUACAGAUGAUAAAUACAAAAAACAUUUGCACACAAACACCGUAUGUGUCUUUCGUAUAACCAUAUGACACCGUUUUUGUCCGGAGCACCGUUUUUGUCCGGAGCACCGUUUUUGCUUGUGAUUUAACAAUUAUACCCUUCUAACUAAUACUAUUUUGUCAACUGAACUCUCGUUAGUUUUGUGUUUUCCUUUUAAUAAAUUUACUAUAUAUUUUUUCUUACCAUCGUCCGAACUCAAUUAUAACAAGAUUUUAUCUCCUCAAUUACGUACCAAAACCCGUACCUCCUCCAUAUUCACUCUCUCUUUGUCCCUCUUUCUAAAAAAACUUAGACUGCGGACUUAUAGUUGGAACUUCCCAAAUCCUCCUCUCUGUAAACACACCAUCGCUAGAUUUUUCUAGCCCUCCUUCUAUUCGAGUUGGAAAUUUAACCUCUUUAUUCGUUCUCCCUACAUUCCGCGUUAUACCCAACCCCAGCCGCCGUGUACUAUGCAACAGUCCCGACAACGAUGAAUGGUAUCCACUGUAUAACUAAUUUUUUAAAAACCUCGAUAUAUUCCCCCUCGGCUUGCAACGCACUCCGGGUUACCGAAAAUGCAGAUGAACCCACCCCAGAUGAACACCUUUCUUCUCCAACAAAGUCGUCGGAAUCGUUAAUCCAGCCAUGUGUUGAAGUGUUGUUUUGUCAUAUUUUGGUUGAUUUUGAAAUUUGUCUUGGAUGGUUUAUAGUUAGAAAUGCAUGUGCAGUGUCAUAGUAGUGGGAAUGUGUUUCUCUGCCCACGUUUCAUGUUCUUGGGAGUUUGUUACGUUUUGUGUAUUUUUAACCAACUAGUCUAUUGUAAAAUCACUUCCUUAUCUUUUUCUUACCACCAUAUUCAAUAAUAAUACAACUAUAUUUAGGUUUAACUGUGUUCUAAAACACAAAACAGUACAAAGCCCAUUACACAUAAGUAAGCUUAAUUAAGAAGCUUACGUCUCAGUCUGACUUUAGCACAUUCAACUUUCACGAUAUAUCACUGAACUGCCUCUAGAUUCACUAACCUUUUUCUCUUGUUGGCUUCCUUAGUAUCAACCAAUUUCUCACAGCUUCUCUUCACAACAUCAUCUCCAACCUUAUCUCAUUUUCAUCUAAGUUGUCGUCCGCAUAAUCACUAAUCAAGAAGGAAAUAAGAUAUUGGAAAGAAACAUCUAUGACAGAUGAAUAUUACUUUGUUGAGUUCAAAAUAUUGGAAAAUGGAGAACAUGAAGGGUAAACAUCACAAGAUAAAUCUUUCUUGUUGGUUGUUUUGUUCUUGGUUCUUGAAAUUGUUGUUCUGCUUGAGCUUGUAUUUGACAUCAUUUGAGAUUUUAUAGUCUUGUUCACAUAAUAGCAUAUUUAUUAUAAGCAAUCAUAUAUUCUAUAGAAAUCUAUAUAUAUUUUAGUUUGGAAUUUUGAAUUGUUUGAAUUCUACAAGAAACUCUAAUUUUAAUUUACAAGUACAAAAAGUAAUAAUUUAUAAGUUUUAACUAGUUAACCUUCAAAUUUUACUCUAGUGAUGAUGUUGCUCUCAAGAUUGUAGUAUAAAAGGAAGCAAAGGACAUAUAUAUCUCGUUCCACGUUGGUAAAGGACAUAUAUAUCUCGUUCCACGUUGGUACCAAUACCUGUCACAGAGCACAAGAAGUGAGGGUGGUUGUGGUGACUUCAAUUGAGAAUUCCUCCGAGAGAAUUGGCGAAGAGAACCUAAGUCACCGAUGCUUACGAACCACGAAGUUAAGAUCACUUAAGAAGUUUUUGAGUAGAGAGAAAGAAAGGUGUAGUUUGCAUUAUUGGUUCAAGAAUAUAGAGAUCUGGAGAUCAAAACAUGAAUCGGUUAUCUUUGUAUAUUUAUUUUAGUUCAAAUCUACAUUUAGAUUUUCUACUAGAGAUGAUGAUCAAGCCAUGGUUACAGAAUACAAUCCAAUUCUUGCAAUGGCAUCUACAUGCAUGUUUCUUUAACAAUACUUGGCAGCAGAUAUAACAUUAUUUGAAUAUUUGAAAACUAAUGUAUUAUUAAAAAGAACAGAUCAAGAAUAGUGAUUUAAAGACAUAGAGGCUCUCUGAUAGAGUAGAACAGAAAUUUUAAAAAAAUAAGUAGAACAGAUCAAUACUCUCACUCUCACUCUCUUAUAAAUUAGAUCUAGAAACGCAAAGAGAAAAAGAGAGAACCAGAACAAACCAAAAAAAAAUAUCAUAAGAGAAAAAUAUAAAUUGAUUGAUGUGAAGAGUAAAAAGAGUAUCAAUAAAAAUUUUAGAAUGUAAAUUAUUUUUGACUUACUACAUAUUCUAAAGCAAAGGUCAAACAUUUUUUUUCACGGCAGUUGAAAACUAUAAGUUAAUAUUUUGUUGUUGAUAAAUCAGUUUGUUUUAUCUUUGUUGAAAAAAGGUAAGCUUGUAUAAUAUUUUGUUGUUGUUUUGAAUCAAAUAUAAAAUAAUGUAGGUAAUGAAUUUGAAUUUAUGCCAUCAAAAAUGUAGUAGUAAGAAAAAUUAUGACUACAAUAUUUUUUUCUCUAUUCGAGUUUAUGAUUUAUUAUUGAUACUUUUUGUCUAUUUGAGUUUAUGAUUCCCUAUAAAUAAAAUACAAUAAAAAGUAUAAAAUUAACAGUUUUAUAAAAUGAGUUGGAUAGGAAAAAAUAAUCAGACUUUCUGUAGAAAUAAAUCUUUUGAAGAUUUCAUUUGAAAAAAGUAAAAUAAUACUUUUUGAUUUAGAAGAAACUUAUAAAGUAUUUUCAUCAAUUUUUCAAUUUUCAUUUAUUUUAAAAAGAAGUUUUGAUAAGUCGUGGCUUGCACGCACGCGUGUUUGCGCGUGUAGGUUUUUAUUUAAAGAUUAAAUUUUGUGUAUAUAGAAUGAAAUCUUGAUAUAAAUAAUAUUUUUAUUUUUUCCUAAAUAUUUUGUAUUUUCAAGAUAAGUUUUCCAAAAAAAAAUUAUUUUGAUAUAAUUUUUGUGUCAUAUAUUUACUCAUAAACUAAUAGUUAUCUAAAAUAAUUUAUGUUGAAUGAAAUAUAAUAGAAAUAAAAUUAUAUUAAAACACUAUUUUUGGUAUCUCUUAUAAGAUAAAUAUUUUUUAAAGGUAAAGUCAAAUAUUUUAAUGAAAAAUGUAUAUCAUAGAUAGAAAUGUCAGAGUGAAUUUAACCUUGUUGACCCAAUCUAUCUAUAAAUAUGGAGUAGAGUAGUAACAAGAAGAGCAACAACAACACCAAAAACAUCUCUCUAAAAUUAAGAAAUGGGUCGUACAAAGAGAUCGAUAAAACUCAGCGAGAGCAAAAGAUCAAGGCUAUCUACUUUUUCGAGACGUCAAGCUUGCAUUUUUAAGUUGGCUGAUGAACUUGCCAAGAAGUCUGAUGAACUUGCCAAGAUGGCUGAUGAACUUAGCAAGAGGCCUGAUGUUGAACCAUUCUUCAACAAUGUACUUGAACGUCUCAUGGGAGAAGAGCCUAAGGAGGUAUGUGUCCCAUUAUUUUUCAUAUAUAUAUAAAAUAUAUCUUAUGUUUAUAAAUUCUUUUUGUAAAUUUUAGAUUUUUAGUAAGAGGAAUCAAGAAAAUCUUGAGAAGAUGACUGUAGAACAGGAAAUGGAGGUCUUGGUUGCUUUCAAGGGGAAAUUGGUGGCCCUUCGAGCAGAAAUAUGCAGGGUUCAAGAGAGGAAAGCUUCGGCUUCUCUCUUGAUGCUCUCUAGGGAAACAAAUGAUCCUCGGAACUAUGUCGAAUAGACAAACAUUUCGGAACUAUGUAUUUAAUUUCAAGAAGUUUAUGCAAUAAUUUUGGUGGUUGUAAUUGAAGGAAGUGUAUGUGUCCUUCAUCUUUUUGUCUUUUUACAAGGAUUUUUCAUAAGUCCCUUUUUCAAUAAUAAUACAAGUUUUUUAUAAUAAUUUACAAUACAUGUGAUUAUAUAUAUGUUUAAGAUAAUUUGGCAUAAAGUGUCCCAUGAGUUUACAUAUGAUUACAAUGUCAUAUCAGUUUUAAUAAAAGUGAAUAAUAUACAGCUAAUAGAGAUUGAAAGAGAAGAUGCAGAAAAACAGCUGAUGAGUGAUUGAAUAGUGUGAACUCAUGUUUUUCUCCGCACCUUCAUUUUAAGAAGGUCACACUAUUAAGAUUUAUUCCCUUCUUUUGUGUGUGUGUGUGUCUAUAUUUUACCUUUUAUAAUUGAUAAGAAUAAAAUCAAAGUAAUUGAUAAGGAUAAAAUCAAAGUUAAUAACCAUGUGUUAGUACCUCAAUUGGUAAAGAUCUCUGGCAAAAGCUUAGAGGUCGCCGGUUCGAGUAUCGCUUGGGACGAGACCAUAUAACAUGCUUUGGUCUCGGAUUUGAGGGGGUGUAUGAGUUUCGGCCCAGAACCUCUUUGAUUAUUAAAAAAAAUAUAUAUAUAUCAGAGUUAAUUAUCUCCACUAUAUUACAGUUUAGUUUGCGUUCAAUUUGAAGUAGUACAUGAGGUUAUUGAUUGCCUGGUAAAGGUCCAAAUUCAAUAUGUACAAUUUCAAAGGGUAAGUUGGGUUAGUUACUAAACAAAAAUAUAUAUAAAAAUUCGAUUUAAUUAUCGGUUUGGUUCGGGUAACAAUUCUCAAGAAUCUGGUAUUAUUUGAUUUAAACAUAGUUUUAAGGCGUUUUCAAGAAAUUUUUGUUUUAACAUGUGUCAUCUGAUUCGAUAUAAUUUGUACAUGUGGGAUCUGACUCAGCAAAAAUUGUACACAUAGUAUUUGACGCAUCAUAGUUGGCCAAUAUCAAUCUGGUCAAUGUUGCUUUCAACAUAUAAAUUUGAUAGCUCAUGUAGUUUAUUUGAAAAAUAUCUAGUUUGGGUUGAUAGUACGCACUAAAGUUGAGGUAUAAAAACGACAUUUUUGAAAUUGUAUAGGUUAAGUUCGGCUCUUUACACAUUGAUUACAUCAUUACAUAUGUACUCAUACUGUUGGGAGUGAAUUUGCAACAACUAAUUAUAUGAUAUUGUUGAUUUGUACUGAUUAUGAAGAAAGACGUUUAUCCGCUUUUGAAAUUACUUUCUCGCUACUUCCUUAUCUUUUUCUUAGCAUCAUGCAUACAACUAGAUUUAGGUUUAACUGUAUAUUAAAACACAAAACAUUACAGAGCGUAUUACACAUACGAAUUAGCACAUUCAAAUUUCUGCUUGACCUUGCAUUUGACAUCAUUUGAGAUUUUAUAGUCUUGUUCAUAUAAUAGCUAUGGGUUCCCCGAUCCUCUUGCAUCCACUGCACUAUUUAUCUUGAGAUGACUAUUAUAUAGUUACAGCUUGCACUUUUAUUAUAUGCAAUCAUGUAUUUUAUAGAGAUCUAUAUUUGAAUUUGGAACUUUUAAAUUUGAAUUCUUAAAACUCUAGUUUUAAUUUAGAAGUACAAAAAGUAAUAAUUCACAAAAACUAUUAAAAAUGUACAGUGUAUGAGAAAUAGCAACACAAAACAAAUUAGCACCAUAAGCAUUACUAACAUCAUCUCCCAUAUACGUAAGUGUAUGAUGAGAACAUAAACAAAAUUAUCCCACUUUUACUUNNNNNNNNNNNNNNNNNNNNNNNNNNNNNNNNNNNNNNNNNNNNNNNNNNNNNNNNNNNNNNNNNNNNNNNNNNNNNNNNNNNNNNNNNNNNNNNNNNNNNNNNNNNNNNNNNNNNNNNNNNNNNNNNNNNNNNNNNNNNNNNNNNNNNNNNNNNNNNNNNNNNNNNNNNNNNNNNNNNNNNNNNNNNNNNNNNNAUUCUUAAGAACAUCUGAUGGUAAAUGAAUCAUACCAAAUGUUUCAGACCUGACAUCAAAGCUCAUUAUAACCCAAACACUGGUAUGGUAAACAUAGGCUAGAUAAUAUAUAACCCCCUUGAUGCAUCUCCCACAAGUACUAUACCCGUCAGAACGAUGUGUAAGUUUAGUUUUGACUGUUCUCCAUGAUUCUUGACCAGAUCCUAACGUUACUUUGUGUUUACCUUCAACGGGAUCGUAUCCUAAAUAAAGGGUUAGAUUCUCCCAGCUCAUUCUAGGUUUGGGUAAAGCUAAGAUCUCUCCCGUGCUAGGGUUACAAACUAUCGGUAUUUACUAAGUGAGUGAUAAUGUUGCGGAACCGAGGAAACGAACAACUUGUUUUGUUCGAUGUAGCAAACCAAAAGACACGACCGUGGGUACCUUUUUUCGAACAUCUUGAUGAAAAAACUAUCGGUGUUGCUUGAUAACCAAACCAUCGACACCCAACGAAGCCUCGCAAUAGAUUCUUCAGGCAGCCUUAUGAGUAUCUCUGAGGAAAAGACGAAGUUAAUUUGGAGACUUUUAUUUCCUUCUCUUUUUGUUUCUCCAUCUUUAGUAGUCAAAGCCUUAAUUUGUUAUGGCUGCGUUGCUUUUGACCUUGUCUGUAUAUAUAUAUUUUCAUUUUAGUAUUGAUUUUAUGAUAUCUAAAAUCUAAAACGUAAUUCACUUUUAUUUUCUUAUUCACUUAUAUUCUUCUUCACAAACAUACAUGAGUUAACGUGUUGUAAUUACAAAAUUUGUCUCAUCAAUGUAAUCAAAGCAAAAUUUGAUACUACAACUAACAAAAAUGUUCUAUAAAAACAGAGUCAAGAACCAAACCCAUUUCUCCAUGGCUACAACCAAAAAAAAAGGUUCUAGAAAACAAAGUCAAAAACCAAACCCAAUCUCUCCAUGGCUACAACCAAAAAAAAAGGUUCUAGAAAACAGAGUCAAGAACCAAACCCAUCUCUCCAUGGCUCUAUAUAUAAUGUUAGACUCUUAACCUAAGAUUUUGGUAAGAAAUGACUCUUAUUUAAUAGCUUUUCUUAACAAAAUCUUAAGUUAAGAGACCACCAUUAUUAAUGCUCAAGGGUAGAAAUACCCAUGUACCAGAGUGUUGUAACUUGUAAGUGUCAAUGUUAGGCUUAAUUAGUUCCAUUAAAAAUUGUCAACUGACUGAAACGAAAAGAAUAAUAUUCUGAAUUUCUAUUUUUAGGCUCUCUAGUACCGACUUAUGAAAAAGUUUCAUUUUAUCCAUAGUUUCAUCAAGUUUUCAGAAUGGUUAGCGCUUUUAUGUGUAGUGAUUAUGUUUCUUGUUUCUCGAUCUAUGCCUUUGAAGAUAAUAUGUAGAGAAAUAUAAAUUCUGCUUCUGAACCACAUUAUUCCUCAGUAAAUCUUGUUUUGGGUGGGGGGGAGAAGCAUGUGACAUGACGAGGUUUUUAUCCUUUAUUUCAUUUUUUAAGUUUGCCUCUAUCUUGACUUUACUAAAGCAAGUUGUCAUACCAUAACGUAAGUGUUAGAAACUUGAUUGAUUGAUUCUAGGGGGCUUCAAGAGCUGUGAGGUACGUUUAUAUCUAUAGUAAAGAAUUUUACUUGGUUUUUUUUUUACAGUAUUUGGUUUGUUAACUAAAGAAUAUAAAUUAAAGUACUUAAUAAUGGGUUGACAAAUAUAUAUAUUAUUUCUGUUCGCAUGCCUUACAAAUACUUAGACCUUGAAUUGAUGGUGUAGUUGGGUAUCGCCUAAGAGUAUGAAUGCUUAAUCGUUUGCCUGAAAAAGUUACUUUUAAAUGAAAAAGAACUUGCACAAAAAUGAUCAUCCAAGGAAGAACAAAAAAAAACAUGAUUCUCAACGUGAUUCGGGAAAGCAUGGAGCACAUACAUCGAUGUGUCCUCUGUGAUUCCUUUAAGUUCGAAUCGUCUACAGCUUCGUUUCACGGGAUCAUAUAAUAAAAUAUAACUCACCAUUUCAAACCCGGAUACUUCGUAAAUAAACUCACCAGCAUUAGUGCAACCUUCAAAUCUUAAAAAAGUUGUCAAACCAGGAGGUACUCCAAAAUGAACAGGUAAAACAUCUUUACGCGACCACUUGUGUUUCUUUGUAUCCUCCAAAAUGCACAAUGUGGUACAACGCUCCCCUCUAAUUCUACCACCCUUCAUGGCACACACUCGAGCACAAGCUAACCUCCCUUCAUAAGUUAUGAGAACACUUUUAUCAUGAUUAAUAUCCGAUGGCAAUUGUAUCAUAUCGAAUUUUUCAGAUUUGACAUCAAAGCUCAUUACAACCCAAACACGGGUAUAAAUGAUUUGGGCUAUAUAAUAUACAACCCCCUUGAUGCAUCGACCAGAAGACUGAAUUUUUGAACGAUGCUUAUGUCGAGAUUUUAUUGUUCUACUUCUCCAUGAUUCUUGAGCUGAUCCCAAAGUUAGCACCCGGCAUUUAUUAGAAACUCUACAAAGAGGUAUGCACAUUACUUUGUGUUUACCUUGAACCGGAUCGUAACCUAAAAAAAAUUUAACGUCAUUCCAGCUAAAUUUUGGUUUGGGUAAAGUUAAUAGCUGUCUUGUACUAGGGUUCCAAACUAUAGGCGUUCCUGAUUCUUGUAAGCAGAUCAAGCCCUGGACAGAUUCCGUAGAGAAGUUAACAUAUCCUUUAGGGAAUUCCAUAUGAUACCCAUAAAUAGACUGAUAACAAGUGUAAGACCUUUUGGAAUUCUCAAGUGAAUGCCGAAGUUGUGGAAUCGAGGCAACAAACAACUUUUCAUUUUCAAAGAAGCAAACCAAAAGACUUUGCUGUGGGUACUCAAAAAUUCUUAUUUUGCAAAUGUCCCAUCAAUAAAACACUAUAACCGGUAUGUGAGAGUGCUUCUCUAUUUGUUUUUUCUAAGGGUUUUGUGCAAAUUAACCUUUCAAAUCGUCAAUUUACGGAACUCUGUCUUCCAUAUCAAAAUAAUUACAGAAUAAUCAUACUAAGUCAAGAAUAAUACGCAAUACAGCCCUUAUAGUAGAUAAAUAUAUUUUUCUAAACGAUUUUAUGGUCACAUACAUUUAUUUAUAAAAAUUCUAAAAAUUUAUCUGAACUUCUAGUUAUGAGGGAUUCGAUUUGAUAUAUUAUUUCUAAAAAAUUUACAACCAUGAUAGUAGCAAAAAUGAGUUAUAUUGUAUAUUUAUUGGACUUUGUAUGAUUGGUUUGCAUUUUCUGGAUUUGGAGGGUAAACUUGCUAAAAAUAGCGACUUUGAAGGUUUAUAUGCAUAAAACCCUUUUUCCAACUACUUAAAAAUAAGAAGCUUUUAAAUAAGAAAAAUAGUACAUGUCAAUUUGUUAAUAUGAAACUACAGCAAAAUUUUCUUAUUUCUUAAACUACUUACUUCAUAUAUUUUUUGGUUCUUUUAUUGGCUCUUUUGAUAAACAAUUUCAACAAAAAUAUUUUUCAUGUUUCCUCCAAAGCUUGGCCUCAUGGCCAGCUCUGCUUUUAUGUCAUGUUGAUCUCUUAAACUUUGAAACAAAGUAUAUGCGUAUAUAAUCUUGGUGCAAUUCACUUCUAGGUCCCAAAACAAACUAAGUAAAAUGCCACAAGAAAGGUAAAGAGUUACUACUAUUGAACGGUUGAAUUUAUAAAAUGCAGGAGGGAAGUGGCAAGGGAGGAAGAUGAAACGGGAUAGAAUCAAAGCUUACAAAAAAUAAAAAUAAAAAUGAAAAUAUAGAAAUUGCAUAAAUAAUCAUUCUUAUUAAACUAAUACAAAGUUUCUUGACUAUCAACGUGAUCCGGGAAAGCAUGGAGCUUAUAAAUACCUCUGUUCGAAACUCCCUCAGUGAUUCCUUGAAGUUUGAAUCUUCUAAAGCUGUUUUUAAUUGGAUCACAAAAUAAAAUAUAAACCAUCAAGAGUGUAACUUUUUAGUUGGAAAUAAGUUCUCAUUCUAUCAUCAAAGCAACCACUAGGUGCAAGAUCAUCUUUCCUAAACCACUUGGGUUUCUUUGCGUCCUCCAAAACGUACAAUCUGAUACCAUGCUUCCUGAUGACUUUACCAUCUUCCGGGUGAAGGCAUAUUACGGUUACGGUUAAUUAAUGGUUACGGUUAGUAUAUUUUUUUAGCCGUAAAUAAAUUACUUGUAUGGUUAACGGUUACGAUUUUUAAC